UUUGUGAAAAGGUGAAAGUACGAUUUCUAUUCGCUUUGAUUUCAGUGUUUCACAAAACAGAGCGGCCCUGACGUUUAGUACUACUGCAGUUUAUGUAGUUGCUGACUACGUAGGAAUAUUAGACGCAAACCUUUCCUAUAUACCCCUCCCUUCCGGUGUUCCAUCCAACCCUGCGAAGCAGGAUGAACCAAACUUCUUUUCUGAAAGAGCAAUCCAGUAGCAAGGGGGAGAUUGUCUCGCAUUCCUGGACACAACAGGCACAUAAAUCGUUAUCCUGCAACUGAUGACGUUUUUAUGAACAGAUUUCCAUAAGAAACCUAAUCAAUUUACUAGCCUUAGCUGUAUUACAUCAUUACCUGCACGUGUAGGACAGUCCAUUUGUCGGAGCGAUAGCAAACUGGUCAUCACUCGUCAGAGCAAAGACUGUCGUACAAAUAGUGUAAUUGCUAUGGUCCAUCCAAAGUAUGCUUCCGGGCAGGGUUAGACUUGGUCCGCGCGUAUGUAAGUCAACUGAAAUCCUACCCAGGGCAGUGACGCAUUCUAGACCAAACAAGCCGCGCGAUGACGUAAUAGUAGUACUAGGAUGGCAGGCGCGCUAGGCCGCGCCCGUAUACUAAGAGUCCAUGCAUGCUCGUCUAAUUGAACAUCUCUGAGCAAUAUAAACACCAUAGUAAGAGAGCAGUAGACAUCACGGUCAAUGGACAACUUCAAUUUGCAUUGAACAUAAACGUGGUAGUUCUUUCGCUCAUAUGUAACAGGUGCGGUUAUAGGUUUGUCAAACUUAAAUAUGGGGAAAAAUACUGGUAUCGAUCAUUUGAAGCAAAAAAAAAAAGAAAAGAAAUUUUACGGCUUCCGGUCAGCAACCACUGACAGCAUCCAUUUGAAGCCAAGCUAUAGGCACAAUAUUUCACGAACUGUACGAACUAUCAGGUCAUGAUAUUCGAAAAAAGACAUGGUAGUUAAGAAGAACAUCUGCUGGUAUUUUGGUGCUCAAAGAAGAAAAAUAAAUUACAUGCUCAUCUGAAGCCAAGUAGCUGAAGCAGCACUGAAGAAGCAGUCAAUUAAAUUGGGGGAAAUGACCAAGGAAAGGAAAGUACAAAGACGAAAUAUUGCAUCAGGCCUUCUAUUUCAGGAUUGGGAACAAUUCAUCUGAUAAUAUGACUAUAUGAGGCAACCAAACAUUGAAACAUGUAAAGUCCAGAAUCAAAGAUAAAGUUGUUGAGAUGAAUUGAGGAAGUGCACGUAAGAACUAAAGAAAUGAAGAAAGUGCAGAGAUGGCGGAGCUUACACAGAUAUGGAGCUUACAGCCUUACACUGCCAUCACCUCUGCCGAGGACGCGGCAAGCCAGAUCAGGAAUUCAGGAUCCGAUGGCGAAGCCUUUUCUGGAGGUGUGCCCCGUCCAGGAACCAGAGGAGAGCGGCGAUGGCAGCGAGAGAGGAGAAACCCACGAAGGCUGCUCCGAUGUGGUCCGUCGACGCUGCUGCGUUCCCCGUUGGCGACGAGUCCGCCAUCUCCGCCAUAGUCGCGGCUGCUUUGGCGUGCUACCUCAGUGUGUGAGCUCCUGCCGCCGGUCUGCCUUUUGUGCGGCCACGAAGGGGAUGUGGACGGACGGGAUUGAGCCGGAGCGUCGGGGACGGCACUGGAGCCGAGGGUGCGGCAGCGACGGCGGAAGAGGCGAGGCGAACCAGACGGAGUCAAUUUCGUCCGCGGGCAAGGAAGGCGCGUACGCCUGCUACGUGAGCCUCCCGUACCUGCGUUUUCCUCAGGGUCGGUCCCGCAGAAGACGUGGCUGCCUGUAACAGGCAGAGACGCGGGGGAGCUCCCGGAGGCGUGCAAAUCUUACAGGGAUGUAUCUCUACUUUAUGCACUAUGCAGCCGAGAUCGCAGAUCAAACGGCUUGACACAAACCAGCAAGACGCCAAGUCGACGUUGCUUCAGUCUCCAAGCGUUUCGACGUCUCCACCGGUGGCCCACCGCCAACCAAUUAAACAACCUUCUCAAAAAAUAAAACCAGGUCAACUCCACUCAUCUAACCACGCGACCUAGUAUAAACGGCUGCGCGCUUAAGGAAGCAAACUGACUAGAUCAUCAGCUAAACAAGCACAGCCAAAGCGUCCGAGUCGUCGGCUCCGCGCCAUGGCUCACCUACCACGUUUCCUCCCCGUCAUCCUCUUCCCCUUCCUCUCCCUCGUCGCCCAUUGCCCCGCCUCCCAUGGCACCCCUCUUCCGCCCACCUACGACGUUUCCAUGUGCGUGGACUCGCCGAUCUGGUGCGGCGGCGUCGAAAUCCACUACCCGUUCUACCUCGCCAACGCGACCGCCUACCACUACGGCGCACCCUUCUCUUGCGGGUACACCGACCUGAAGAUAGCCUGCAAGGACGACGGGGAAACGCAGACCCCCGUCAUCCACCUCGGCCGAGCCGACUACACGGUCCAGAACAUCUUCUACAACAACAACAGCUUCCUGCUGGCCGACGCCGACGUGCUUCGCGGCGGCGAUUGCCCCAGGGUCCGCCACAACGUCAGCUUCGACGAGGCGUGGCUGCAGUUGCGCAACACCAGCUCGCACGACAAUCUCACCUUCUUCUUCGGCUGCUUCUCCAAGCAGCCAGGCGGCGGCGAUCCUCGGCCGCUCGGUUUCGACACGGAUAAGUACCGGAUCAACUGCACGGGGUCGGGGAACGCACCUGGUGGUGGAGCCUCGUUCGUGUUCGCCGACGAAGAGCUCGACAACGCCCAAGAGUAUGAGUUGGCCGCGCACUGCGGGGAGAUCGUCACCGUGCCGGUACGAAGCGAGGUUCUCGAUCUCAUGGCGAGUGAUCAGUCCAUGUUGGCGAGGGGUGGAUACGGCGGCUUGCUAAGGCAGGGGUUCGAGCUCGCUUGGACCCGGAGCACCAAGGAUCAAUGCCACCGGUGCGAGAACUCCGGCGGGCGGUGCGCCUACGGCUACGCCAAGGCUUUCCUCGGUUGCUUGUGCAGCGGGAAGGUCGGUGACCCGUACUGCAAAAACAGUAGUGCCAGCACAGUACAACCGCCAAGUAAGUCCUCCAGGCUCCAGGACUCAUCCUUCGAUUUUACCCCUCGUUUCUGCGAUCACCAGACGCGUUCCAGUAGCUUGUCGCGUUUGGUGCUUUCUUGGCUUCUUGUCCCCGCUGCGGCUGCUUCUCUGUUUAGCCCCGCGAGUUUUUUUUUUUUGAUAAAUGGUCCGCGAGUAGUUAUAGUUUGGCUGAAAAAUACCGCGUGGGUAUGUAGAAAAGAUAGGAAUUCCAAUUCGCAUUUCCUCAUUCGGUAUCCCGUUUUGUUCUUUUUCACGAACGAGAUUCAUCAGGCGGCCCGGCGUACUCCACAGCGUUUCGUAGAGCAUAGAACCAAACUGUCCUUCCUUUCAGUCUGAACUCCGAAACAAGAGUCAGGUUACUACCUACUGCUCACUGAAUUCAUGCCGAAAGUGUGAAACACAGCCUACACACCUGGUUUAAUUUGCAUCGCUGAAUUGAGAAGUUAGCUAGCAUUGGCUAUGGUAGGCAAAUGACCAGAAGCGUUUUCCUUACACGUUUAGAACACGUAUGAUACUUGAGUUGCUGCAGGCUCUUCGUUGGAGCGACAGCACACUGGCCGUGAGAGCAGAGACCGCCAUGCGAGUACCCAAACGCUACGUUUGGUCCAAAUUCAAGACGUGUUGCUGAGGUCGGAGAAAAGCCUAGUUUUGCGUUCACUGAGAUAGUUCGACUACGGUGGUUCCCAAAACAGAGCCGACUGGGUCCCCUGCCGUUUAUUAGUACCGCAAACUUUCUAACUGCUGACCACUCCGGACCAUUGAACGCAAAUCUUCUAGUGAGAAUACUUACAUGAAUAUCGAUCCAGAACCAAGACCAAGGACGCGACCUUUCUUUCUUCCAAGGGUGUUAGCCAAUGGAAAACGCGCGAGUGUGCACGGAACAGCGACGGGAGCGGGAGGUGCCAACACCUGACUUCGCCAAGGCAGAGUAAUUGCCUAAUUGGCAUCUUGCGAGACCCAGCUGGUCACAGUCAGCCACGGCUCUUUGCCCCACUUUGCCGCCAUGUCCCUCUCGUCGGCAACCCGGCCGCCGAUCGACCUUGAAACUCAUCAGGCCCUCGCGACCUUAUAAACGGAGGCCGGCCGCCACCAAACCAGAGGGGGCAAUAAAGUAGCCUGACCUGUUUAGGUUUAGCCAUGGCUCUCUUGCUACGGCACCGGCUGCUGCUGCCGCCGCUGCUUCUCCUUGCCAUCUUGGUUGCCGCUUCCCAUGGCGCGCCUUCCAGCGGGGGCGAUAGCUACGACACCUCCAUGUGCGUGCGGCAACCUUACAACUGCGGCAACGUCAACAUCAGCUACCCGUUCUAUAGCAAGAUGGAAACUCUCCUGGGAAACGACAGCUCGUACUGCGGCUACCCUGGCAUGGAGAUUCAGUGCGAGGAAGGCCGAGCCUUCCUGGAACUCGACAGUGGCAAGUACACCGUCUCGCGCAUCGACUACGAGCCCCCCGGAGUCUGGCUUGCUGAUCCUGAUGUCCUCAACGAGGGGAGCUGCCCCAGAGCCAAUCACAACGUGACGCUCCGGAACGGCUCAUGGCUGGACUAUCCUAACGACACCGUCGAUUACCUCGUCUUCUUUAUCAAUUGCAACUUCCUCAACGUCACCGACAUCGCUCGGCCACCGUCAAACACGGACUCCACCUGCAAAUUCGAUGACGAGCCGGCGUAUGGGAUGUCUUUUGUGUUUCGGAAGGAAGACGUGCCGCACCAGGACACGAAUUGGUGGCAGGUGUGCGGCAAAGUUAUCGAAGUGCCUGUGCUCAAAUCCGGUCUCCCUACCGAUCCACAAAAUGAUCCUAGAUGGAGGAACGGUGGGUACGGCAGCAGUCUUCGUGAAGGAUUCCAGUUGGCAUGGCACCAAGAGCGCAAGGCCCCCGCGUGUGACCAGUGCGAGCGAUCCAAGGGGCAGUGCGGCUACAACCAGACGGGGGGACACGUAGCAUGCUUGUGCUCCGGCGGGCGAGUCGGCGCUCCCAAUUGCUCCUCAGGUAAGCCUAGAAGCUUUUGCUCUGCUUUUCCAAACUGCCCGGGGAUUACUGGUUACUUUGCUUCAAUUCAUCGUACCGUCCUUCAUUUUGUUUUCUCUACAAUCGUUCCCCCUUUUUAGAUCCCUGUAGAGACUAGGGUCAAAGCUCCUUUUUAGGGAAUUUGUUAAUUGAUGAACAUAAAACUGUUUUGAACUUAAGUAAAAUUUGCCCACCUGUUCUCUUAGGUAUCUAUAAUUGCGUUUUUUUGUGGAUCCUUGAAUUAGCAAGAUAUUUGGAAAUGGCAAAGUUUCUGGUGAAAUUAUACGGAAUGUCUGUCACAACUCACAUGCAACUCUUUUUGGGUACAUCAAUCAACCGACUUGGAUCAUACGAGUCCUAAGAGGAAAAACACAGAACUGAUGACUAUAGGUGACUAGCGUGCAUUCAUGGUAGUGACUGGCAACAACCUACCAAUGGAUUCCCUACUAUCUAUGUUACUAUGUACAUGUUCAUUAUUAGUGUCAAUUUCCAAAUCUUUCAAAAGGCUUGAAACUACAGCCCAUUUUCCUUGUGUUGUUGAUCUAACACGGUUCCUCUUGUAUCGGUCACCUGCUUUAGGAUGGUAGAAUAUUCUUAGCUCCGUAAGACGACUAUAUAUGCCAUUUCUGUACACUUAUGUGCUUCUUUGCUUAUGUAAUUGCAGGACUUGAUACUAAGAAAACUAUAAUCGGUAAGCAACCUCUAUCUUGGGUUCACUUUCAGUGUUUUUCCUUUGUUUAUUCCUAUACUAAUCUGUUGCUAAGUCUGCUUUACAUGUGCCUAUAUAAUCUGCACCCAUCUUCAUUUUGUCCAAAAGAGCAGAACAAAGACAUAUGGCUAAUUAUUGGCACGCCGUGUUUUAAAUGAAGCUAGAAAUGAUGGAUAGAAGUUGAAAAAAAAAGUUGGAGUGGCACAAACUCAUCUUAUAUAGCCACCUCCUUCAAAGAAAUCAAGAGCAAAACCUUCCUCCUUAGAUUUGGUAUUUUUGAAGCUUUUCCCGAGCUCCUCUUGGGCAAGCUCCAAAUGGAAGGUUGCUUGGGAAAAAGAUGCCCGUGGCCUUAAAUGAGCGAGCUCUGUGCUGGCGGGCGACAUAAGCCAACCGCUAGCACAGAUGGGGUGUGUUGGCGGGUGCUGAGGUCGCCUGCUAGUACAGUGGCUUCUGUGCUGGCGGGCUCCCGCCGGCACAAGAAAGCUUUGUGCUAGCGGGUACCAAUAAUAAAUUGCCUGUGCUAGCACAAAUCAAAUUGAAACUACUGUUGUUGAUCUAACACGGUUCUUCUUGUUUCGUUCACCUGCCUUUUUCAUGAAGCCAUGUAAUCUGUUUUUGGGUGUACGGUAGAAUAUUGUUAGCUUUGUAAGAUGCUUAUAUAUGCAAUUUAUGUGCACUUAUGUGUUUCUUUGCGUGUGUAAUUUGCAGGGCAUGGUAAUAAGAAAACUACAAUCGGUAAGGAACCUCAAUCUUGGGUUCACUCAAUGUUUUUCUUUUGUAUUCGUAUACUAAUCUGUUACAAAGCCUGCUUUACAUAUGCCUAUAUAAUCUGCACCCAUCUUCAUUUAGCCUAAAAGAGCAGAAAACAAAGGCAUGGCACGCCAUGUUUUAAAAUCCAUGAUUCUCACAAAUAUAUUAUUUUGGAAUCCACUGCCGAUGACAACAAUGGCGAAAAAUUAUAUCGUCCCUUUGGAAAAUAAACUUUCGAGUUUCCCUACUGACUGGCAAUAUAUGCAUUAUGCUUUGCAAAAUGGAUUUUUAGAACGCUUCGCAAAAUGACUGAACAUUGGAGAAGAAUUUUUUAUCCUUCCUCUGGGAAAUAAACCUAUGUGUUUCCCUACUGACUUUGCAAAAUGAAUUUCUAGAGCACUUCACAAAAUGGAUUCAUUUGUGAUGUCUUGUUGUGAUGCAGGUAUUGUUGCAAGCACAUCGUGCCUUCUAUUUCUGAGUCUACUUAUUCUCGCGUUCUUCUUGACCUGCAAAUAUGGUUCGCUGCCCUUUAAAUCAAAGAACAAACCAAGGAUUGAAUCCUUUUUACAAAAGAAUGGGAACCUACAUCCUAAAAGAUACAAUUAUGCAGAUGUGAAAAGCAUGACAAAGUCUUUUGCUGUUAAGCUAGGCCAAGGUGGAUUUGGUGCUGUAUACAAAGGUAACCUCUCUGAUGGCGGCCAGGUAGCAGUAAAGAUGCUAAAGGACGUCAAGGGUGAUGGGGAGGAAUUUAUGAAUGAGGUGGCUAGCAUUAGCAGAACUUCUCAUGUCAAUGUUGUUACCCUUCUAGGAUUUUGUUUGCAAGGAUCCAAAAGGGCUCUCAUUUAUGAGUACAUGCCUAAUGGUUCAUUGGAAAGGUAUACCUUCGGCACCAACAUCAACAGUGAAAAUAUACUAAGUUGGGAGAAAUUAUUUGAAAUAGCAAUUGGCAUUGCUAGAGGGCUUGAAUAUCUCCAUCGAGGAUGCAAUACUCGCAUUGUGCAUUUUGAUAUCAAGCCCCACAACAUUCUAUUAGAUCAAGAUUUCUGUCCUAAGAUCUCUGAUUUUGGAUUGGCCAAGCUAUGCCUGAAUAAAGAGAGUGCUAUAUCCAUUGUCGGUGCAAGAGGAACAAUAGGCUAUAUUGCCCCUGAGGUCUAUUCAAAACGAUUUGGAACAGUAAGCAGCAAAUCUGAUGUUUAUAGUUAUGGAAUGAUGGUACUUGAGUUGGUUGGGGCAAGGGACAAAAAUAUCAAUGCAGAUAGCGAAUCUAGUAGCCAAUAUUUCCCUCAGUGGAUUUAUGAGCAUGUGGAUGAAUACUGCAUCAGUGCUUCUGAGAUUAAUGGUGAGACCACAGAGCUUGUGAGAAAGAUGAUAGUGGUAGGUUUGUGGUGUAUACAAGUGAUCCCAACUGAUCGGCCAACAAUGACUAGAGUCAUGGAGAUGCUGGAAGGCAGCACAAGUAAUCUUGAACUACCACCCAAAGUGCUCUUGGGUUGAUAUGCAUCAAUAUGUUCCCAAUAAAAAUGUUACUCACUGAAACCAGUUUGCUCAAAUGCAAAUUUUUGUUGUACUUAAAAAAAGGUCAUGCAUCAAAUGUUACUUUUGGUAUGUAAACAGAGAUGGAACUAAUAUAUGAAUUGCUGACCAGGGGUGGUCAUAUAGCAUCUCAUGAUGAUGUUAUUUGAUCAGACUAGCUACAAGUAUGGUUUCACUUCUUUGCACUCGUACUGAUUUCACUAGGCAAAUGCGUUACAGAUUCAGUAGUGAGUGAGUUUACAUCCCCACGAAAUACAUUAGCACAAAAUACGUUUUCAUCCCAAUUCAGAUCAGAACUGCAAUGCUCAGUUGCUGAAAAUACUUGAACUGGUUAUUGGAGAUUAGGUUUUGAGAGCCAGAGGUUUCCAAAAGUAAGAGUGGCCCAAAUAGGACCAACGCGGCCACUGCUCAGGUUUCAGAUGUUUGCCAUGGACCACAGCGGGUGCCGCCUGCGUCGAUGUUUGCCUCCACGACCUCCGCCUGAGUGCCCGUCUCGAUGCCAGGGUAGCUCCCAGCAGAUGGCUAUGCUCGCUGUCCAAAUCCACCGGAUCGCACAGACCAGAGCGCACACGAGAGGCGGCGGUGACUGGAAGGAAGAAAGGUGCUGACCAGAUCCUUUUUAGUUUUGCGCUGGCCGUGGGUCACUUGACAGAGCCCAACGAUUUGCGCGCCCAACACAACUUUGGUUGCAUGUGGAAAUUUCGCCGCCACGACUGACCGCGCGAUCUGUUAAUACGAUUGCGAAACAUACCCGAAACUGUGUAUUGUUUCAUUCAUUGGUUCAUUGCUGACAGCGAUUCAUCGGGCCGGUCGUGGUGAGGCUGGUCACUACUCCAGACACUGCUCACUACUUACUACUCCCUCCAUUUUUAUUUACUAGUAUGUGACAUGAUGCGCUGCUACUAAUGAAGGUCCAAGAUUUUAUUUUCUUAUUUAUUUACUUAUCUGGCCCUUGCUUUUAACACCUUGCCUCUCAUGCACAAUUACCUGAUUAAGCUAGCUUGUCAUAUAUUGCUUGCCUAGAAUGUUAGGAGCGACAUAUUUUUGCUUGAUUCAUCAUCAUCAUCUGCAUUCUUGAUUGUAUUACAGCAAAGAAGCUGGGACAACAGGGAGCAUGGAUAAGGAGGAGAAUAAGGAAGCAUCAGUGAGCAUUAGCAACGAUGACACGGACACCAAUGAUUUUGAGGAUGACGACUAUGAUGACGAUGAUGGGAAGCACACCGUGGCGCUUGGUCCUCAGGUUCCCCUCAAGGAGCACCUUGAGCUCGACAAGGUAACAUGGUUAUGCCUGAUCACGUCAUGCGAUUAUGUGACACCUUCAGUAUCUAGGUUAGGCCACCAUCUAUGCCGUUAUUACUGUUGCUUCCCCAUCCAUUUACCCUUUGAAUGCGAUUUAUUUGCCUAGGAUGAUGACAGCCUAAGGAGGUGGAAAGAGCAGCUCCUCGGAGAUGUUGAUACCACUAAGCUUGGAGGUACAUUUAAUACCGCACUAAUGCUCGCACAUGUGUUGCAAUGUCAGAAAUUUUAUGGUGUGUCCAUGGCAUGAUCUGAUAAUUUUUUUUCGCUGAAGCCUUGCUGUUUCUUUCAUUCACUUUCAGGCACACUAAGGGUGUGUUUGGUUGCAUACACCACAUGAUGCAUGCAUGGAUGAUCCUGGAUGGAGUGGUUCAACCAAUUUGCUUGUACCAUAUGGUUCACUCUAAUUAGUAGAAUAAUGUAUUAAGUGGGAUGGCCUCAUCCUGGAUGAGUUGGUCCAAUUCACCCAACCAAACAAAAGGAUCAUUAUUAUUUUGAAUCAUUUCAUACAUGAAUCAAAUGAUACAACCAACUAAACACACCCUAAAGCACAAAUAAGCUAACCUUUAAUUUUUUCUUAAGAGACAAGAUAACAUCGAGUUAGAAUUCCGGUGUAGCUAAAUAUGUUAACUUGAACAUGGCCUGGAAAGUGCAGUCAAUCAAACAAAGCUUCCAUAUGCUUGGACUGAUAGUACCUUUCUGUAUGCAGAGACUGCAGAACCAGAGGUGACCAUAUUGAACUUGACCAUCCUAAGUCCAGAGCGACCGGAUCUGGUUCUGCCGAUCCCACUUGUGCUGGAUGACAAGGGGUACGCAUUCUCGCUCAAGGAUGGGAGCACCUACAGUUUCCGCUUCUCCUCCACUGUCUCCAACAACAUUGUGUCUGGUCUCAGAUAUACACACAACUUCUGGAAGACUGGAGUAAGAGGUGACUUAUAAUCAAUCAUAUGCAUAGAUGUUUAUCAUCUUUGUUGGUUACGUGCUGAUGCUGCAAUUUAUGAGAAUAAGGAUGGUGGCAUGAAUUUUGAGUAGUUUUACAUGAUCCUUGUGUUAAUUGACAUCUGCAUUACAUUGUAGUGCUGGUUAUGUAAAUGCUUACCGUAAAACUACUAACUAUUUGGCUCAUGAAUUUUGCAUCACACAUGAUUGGUCUUUUUUAUGUAAACAUAAUUGCCAUUGUCCUUUUUUUUUGCAACGAAUGUUAAUGUUCAUCUUCACUUACCUGGAAGUCAGUUGGCCUUUGAUAUCGAAAUCCCAGUCAUUGAGUCAGCGCAUGCUCCCCCUCAGCCUAAGAUAGUUGACCUCCCGGUUGCUUUUGGCAGUGGAAAAUCAGAAGGUGAUGCUGGGGACCUACAGUCCUCAGCAGGAGCCUUACACAUACGAGGCCGAGGAAGCUACGACACCAAGCGGCAUCUUUGCAAGGGGUUCAUAUUCUGCAAAGCUGAAGGUAAGGAAACCCCUCUAGUAUUUUCUACACAUUUGAAGCCUACCUUCCUGAAUUUUCUACACAUUUGGAAAUGCAUAGCCCAGUGUCGUAAUGAAUUUGUAUGAAUUUGGCUUUCCAGUUCGUGGACGAUGAUGGGAAAGUCUACCUGGAAUGAGCUACUGCUUCGAGAUCCGAAAGGAUUGGCCAGCCUCGGCCUGAAACUGAGAAAGAGUGUGAAAACAGGGUUUAGGUGGCAUGUAACAGGGGAUGGAUAUUGGAUAGUCCUGUGUCUUGUGUACGAUUCUCGCUGAGCGACGGCGUGGCCCGGCAAUCUAAGCCGGAAGGCCGAAAACAGAAUUCGUUGUGUUGCCUGAUGGGCAUGGCUCGGAAGAAUCCUCGUGAGAUGCUACUUUGAAUCUGUGGAGUUCAUUUAUCCAUUGCUGUGUUGUUUCUGAACCCGCGGAAUGAACUUGUCUGUUACCUCUCAGCCUGCUGCCCUGGUUGUAUUGUAUUGUCCUCCUAGUCCUACUGCUAUAAUUUACGGAAUUUCUGACGACUACUCGUGGAAAAACAUGUAACUAGCAGAAACGUCUGUAAGUUGCUACGGAUCUUUAUUUUCACGUUAUUAUUCGCUUGUUCCUAAUAUGUUAGCUUCGCUUCCGAAUAUAUUGGUGCGUUCUACAUUUGCCACGUCAUCGAUCCACAACUCCGAAACCGCGGAACUUCUCCUCCACCCUUCCCUCUCUCACCAGCCAAUCUUAUUUCCUCCCUCCCUCUCUUCUCUCCCAACCUCUCCGGCACGCCCCGUGGAGGAACCCCGACGUUAUUGCAUCUAUACAUGGCGUAUCGCCCCGGGUGUAGGGGAGUUUGGCCCCAACACGUCUUCUCAAUGCAUUCCCCUGGUGUGUCUUUUCCGGCUUUUCCCCAUCAUUUACCACGUGCACAAGAAGAGAGCAUUGCCGCGGGCUGCCUCCCUCGCACCGCUCAAGCCCACGAAAAAACUUGCCGCUUACAAACUCUUUACCCUCCGAGGCUGGAGCAACGGGCACACGCCACUAACGCCUGGCGAGUUCCUUGUCUGAGGAGCGUUCUCUUACGCUGGCCUCAGCAUGGAUGAGAUGGCCUUUUGGUACUAAUACAAGCUUUGCAUUUAAGAAGAAACGGAUUGUAAAUCUCUCGGUCUGGCUCUGUCAUGUUGCUCGCUGCGUGCGCGUUCUGGAAAAUCCCCCAAAGGGGCCUGGGUUGCCUCACGAGACGCUCAUGGGCUUAUUCGGACCCACGAAAUAGCAAAACGUAACAAGUCCGGUCGGUCAUCUCGUUGGCUAGAUCGAGCUCUGAAGAAACAUACGACACGAUGACAUUUGAAAGACUGAAACUGAUCGAUUGCACGCAAGCUGGCUCAUCCGCCAUGCAUGCAACUCUAACGGGCUAACGGCUAACGCACCAGGGCCGCCUCACCUGCUAGGAGUGAGGAGGAGGAAAACAAUGGGGAAGGGUAAGGUGCAUCCGUCGCCGUCGCUGCCGGCGGCGGCGGCAGGAGGAGAUUCAAACCAAAGCACUACACCAUAAUAUGACAUAAGACCUUAAGGUACCUGAAGCGUCCCCACAUAAGUAGAGACUAAAUGUGAUACAAGUAUCAGUCCCAGGAGGUUGAUAACACAUUUAUUCGACAGAUAAUUCAGUUACCGUACAACUCCCGAGGGAGUGGGCGUGAAAGCCACGCAGCGAUAAGAAGUAAAUAAACAACAGCGGCUAACCAAGCGACUGCCAAAAGACAGCACUCGGGACUACACGGCAGCAGCAGCAUCUUGGAAAGGCCAACACCACAGGCAGCGUUGGGUGCGGACACGGCCUCUACUCAAAGUCCUCGGCGAUGAAGUCCGGGUCUUCCUCUGUGGCAACGAAGCAAGGGUGAGUACAAACGUACUCAACAAGUCCAACCCCAUCCACGGAGGUGGAUACAAGCAAGUAUACGCACAGGAUAUAUCAAGGAUAGGCUAGAGUUCAUUUGCGGUAAAGCUAGAUCUUUAACACAUGCAUGGGCUCGUUUUCAAAUGAGUUUUCGUAAAGCUUUUCUUUAGUAACCGAAACAUCGAGUGGGGUUGAUCCUACACAAAGGAUCCAAGUUUUAUCACUAUCGGACUCCCCGUCCGCCAUAGCUCACGGCACAACUGCCGGACACUUCCAAAAUACACACACACACACACAUGUGACCAUCCAUGCCCAAGUGCUAGUUAUGUGACCAAGCCAUAACUUGUCCAAUGCCGUGGACACGGCUACCCGGAUAGGUUUUAACUCUGCAGAGGUUGUACACUUUUUCCACAAGUAGGGUACCGCAGCACGAUCACCUUAGUGCCGGUGCGGAUCCUAACAAAGCCAUUACCCACCUUAGCUAAGACUGGCUAGUCCUCACGGAAGCACCCAAGGAGUUCACAGCUCAUCCACGAGACCGUAAUCGGGACCUAAGUCACCAAGAUAUUACUCCUUUUCCAUGGGCUCCCGUUGCUCACCAGCACCCCUGAAGACUAACAGUUCAGCUAGUGGGAUUUAUGCUAAGCCGUUGCCCAUACAACGGUCGAGUGGUUGCACGAUGGUUGAAUUAGGCAAGAUGACACAUCAACUCAGUCCUUAACCAUGACAAGAUGGAUAUCUCCCGACGUCGCUCAACCACUAAGGUACGAGCACCACAUCCUGGCAUUUCACACAAGAAACACCCAUCCAUCUCGUCUACACAUCCCUUUCCGGAAAAACCAUUUGCCCACUUGAACACACACACACACACAUUUCUUCUUCAAAUAAACCAUUAUAAUAAUGAUUGAAGUCGAGUAGCAAUUUCCUAAGUGCUCUAGUAGUGGUUAUCAUCUAAACAGAGCAAGUCAUAUUUAAAGAUAAACAAGAGACAACAAGGAAGAUUCAUAACAAUCAAGGGGUGGCUAUCCAACCAUGUCUUGCAAUAAAACAAUAUGCAUUUUAUAAAACAGGCCAAUAGGUUGUGUUUGAAAAACUAUGUAUUAAGUAUGCAUCGAAGGGUGAGAUUGGACUUGCCGUCUUCAAAGCCUUCUGGGAGUUCCGGCUCGCGCUGCUGGUCCUCGGGCUCGGGCUCGCGGUCAAACUCUUCCUCGGGUAAUCCGCGAUCUACGGCACACACAAACGGACACACAAAUAAAUAAAAGAAAAUCGGUUUUUAUCCGUUGAGCUCCGAACAGAAAACGCGAACGGAAAAUAGGUAGAAGUAAUAUUUUUGGGAAAUUUGGAUAUGGGUCGGCGGAAGUAUUCUGGAGGAUGACGUGGUAAAAUUUGGGAUUAGUUGGAGGAAGUUUGGCGCAUGAAAUGACGAGUUAAACAUGGAUUAGGGGCUUAAAAAGGAGGUUUAGGACUGAUUUGCGAUAAACCAGGGACCUAUUUGUAAAUAUUUCUGGAGGUGGAGGGGCUUAUUCGCGAAAAGGGUUAUGAGAGUGGUGGAAGGACCUAUGUGCAAUUUGGGAAAACUUGGGGGUCAAAUCGGGAAUAUAGGAAAUCUUAUCUCCUCCAGGAACUUGGAGAGGGAGAGAGAGAUGGGGGGGUUGGCCGGCGGCGGCCAGCCGGCCGGGCCUCGCCGGCGGCGAGCCGAGGGCCGGGGGUGGCGGAGGAAAGGGAGGGGGCUCCAUUUUGCCCAUUACCGUGCGAACUUGGAGGUGGAGGAGGGGCGGCCGGCGGUGGUUAGGUGGCGGCGGCGUUCGGGUGGAGGAGCACGGGCGGCGGUGGCGGCUUGGCACGGGCGGCGGGUGGAGGAGGUCGGGGGGGGUGCGGCGCAGCUUGGGGAGAGGGCGGCCGGGGCGGUCCCCUUUUAUAGCCGGCGAGGUGAGGGCGGCCGGUGUUGCGGUGGGGCCGGCGGUGGCGUGCAGCACGCGGCGGGCGGCGCCGGAGGGGCGGUAGGGGCCGGCGGUGGCGUGCGGUGGGCGACGACGUGGAGUAGGGCCGGGGCGCGGCGUGGCGGGCACGCCGGCGGGGCUGGGCCGGGGCCGGCAGUCGUGCCGGCGCCGGCGACGUGCGGCGUAGUUGCUGAGGCCGGGCGGGCCGGCGCAACGCGCGGGGCCGGGGCGGCCAGGCGCCGGAGCAGCCCAGGCGGCUGGGGGAGUUAAGGCCCGGGGGGGUCCGGCCAGGGGUGGUGUUGGGGCCGACCGGGAGGAGUGGCGCCAGGAAGAAGAAGGAAGGAGGAGAGAGAAGAUGGAAGGAGGAAGAAGAAAGAAGAAGAAGAAGAAAGGAAGAAGGAAAAAAAAGAAAAAGGAAAAGGGAGGGAAAAAGAGAAAGAAAAGGGGGAGACUGGCGGCGUUCGCGGCACGCGGUUGGAGCACGCGCACGGCAUCUGACGAUGGCACGCGGCGAGAAUUACGGGCACGGAUAAAAUGAUAGAUGUCGGCUUGGGUGCCGGGACGGCGAAAUCGCCGGGAAGAUUUUAGAUUUCCGGGAGCUCAGCGGUAAAAAGAUUUUGAAGCGAUUUUUAACGGGCGAUUUUAGGUUGGUGAUUUUGCGGAUGUUAUAGUACCACCAGAUAAACACGCAUCAGUAGCACGAUUAGUAAGAAAACCACAACUUAGAGCAUACAUCCAUGGCCCUCAAAGCAAGAAUAGUACUUAGAAGAAUCUUCAAGCAGAUGGUUUCACAUGUAGCUAGCACUAAACUACACUGCACAGAUAUAGCAACUAUAAAACCCACAUUCUAAAUUUCCUUGAAAUGAUCCUUUCAAUUGAGCUGACUAUUUGAUAAUGAUAGAACAACAAGCCACCUUCAUGAGUAUGUCAAUAGUACUAAAUCAAAAUCCUGUUCUAACAUCCAAAUAAAAGCAUCGCUAUGUCAACCAUGAAUCCAUGAUUCAUACAGUGCAUGGAUCUGUAUACACCUCAUAACUAGCACCAAAUAAUCCGACCAAUACUGCUUGAUGAAAUAAAUAGCAAAUUGACACCAUAUACUUGUAAAUUCCAAACACACCUAAGCAACCAUAUCUUAUCAUAACUAAACCUUCUGAUGAGACUGACUACCAUGAGAGGAACAUGCCCAAUGCAAAAACCGCAGAAUUCUGAGCACUCCACUUGCCUCCGUAUUCCAAUAACAAGUAUCAGGUACAGUUUCCAUCACAAAAAUUAGGCGUACGAACAAAUUAUCCUGAACAGAAUCAUCAUGCAAACCAGAGAUAGAUCGAGACCAAACCCUUCAAAUUAUCCUAUUUCGGCUAAGCCCGGAUGCUUCGGGUGCUACAUGGCCUACUGGUCCUGUUGGGAUGGGUCCCUGGAGGGCGACCGCGAGGCCAUCCACCACGCCAUCGAGGCCUUCGAGGAGCACCUGGCGAAAGAAGAGAUAGAGGGCACCGGUGGCGACAAGUGGGGAGGCGGGGCCCGUCGUGGCCGUAAGAAGCGCGCCGCCAAGGAGAAGGCCACCAAGGGGAAGGGGAAGGGCAAGAGCAAGGAGGUCGUCGUCGACCCCCUCCACCUCCCACCGCCGCCGAUGGCAACGGCGGCUUCCCCUACUCCGGAGGAGGUCCCGAAGGCGGAGGACGGCGCGGAGUACCUCACCGCGGAGGAGGAGAAGGAGCAUGAGCUGGAGAAUGCCGCCGCCGGCGAGGAGGAUAAGCGGGGGCGCGGUUGGGGCGGCGUGCUGGCCGACCUCGCUGUCGAGGCCGUGCGCAGGGGCAGCGCGGGGUAGCGACGGGACACCCCGCUCUGGCCGUCGUUCGCGCCCAAUCCCCCCCUUUGCCUCUGAAAGGACAAGCUUUUUCCCCUUUAACCCCCUCCCUUCCCUUCUUUUUCCACCCGAGCUCCUCAUCUGUUCAGCAUUUGGACUGCGGGUUGAUUAUUAAAAAGUUGAGGAACUUUUUUGCAAAAUGACCACAAUGGUUGGAAGAAACAACCGCUCUUUUAAUUAGGUAUAGAUAAGACGCACAUGCAUAUCAAAAUUCAAACUUUACAAUGUUUGACUAAUAAUUUUUUAUUUUUAUAAUGUAAAUUUUAUAUGGUUGGAUUCGUAAUCAAAUAUACUCUGGAAUGAUUAUAAGUUUAUAACCAUAAAUAAUAUAAUAUAAGAUAAAUGAAUGGUCAAAGUGUUAUUUGGAAAACCGUGCUAAGUCGUAACAUGCCUUAUAAAUCUAGAUGGAGGGAGUACUAGUCAGCAGCCACUAGCCACUGGUGCAGGUUUUCCUAAUUUGAUUUGGCUUAUACUCCCUCUAUCCCAAAAAUAAAUUGUCAACGUUAACUUAUUUAGUAUGUGAAUGUGCAGGUGGAAGUCAAUUAGAGUCAAAUGUGGCUAAUAAAUAGGAACAAGCAAAAUCAUCUCAUAUUUUUGUUAAUUUAUCCUACUUUUUUUUAGGAUGGUUUGUUUUUUUAACAGAGGUAGUAUUGAUCAAUACUCCUACAUUUUAAUCCACUUUUAGUAACACUCUGUAUGUAUCAACAAAGGUAAAAGUUGGCCCACCAGAGAGAAGAUGAUGAGCCAAGAGGAGUUACCUGCACUAUGAGUUGAGUGGUCUAGUAGACAGUAAUGGAUAGACUCUUGUACUCAAUUUGUGAUGGAGUAUUAUUCUAUAGUUCAAACCAAACCUUUUCAUGGGUAUCUAACUCGGAUCUAGUUUGGGAGCACAAUGGUAGGUCCGAGUGCGCUGCCACCUAGACUGGGUUUCGAGGAGGCAGGGGGCAGGGGAUAACAAAUGAUGUGAUGCGGGACGGUAGAUGGUAGGUUCCACCUAUGUGAUCAACAUUCUCAAGGGCAAUUUAGUGUAUUCACCAAUAAUCUAACAUGCACUCUGGUUGAAAGUGAGAUAGAAUUGAUGGAAAUGUUAAACGAGGUAUAAAAGUUUUAACAUAAAAAUGGCACAUGAGAAGUUGGAAGAAGAUAUACGAAGAAUGGCUUGGAUUAAAAGGAAGAUGGAGUAAAAAUACACAACAAAGUCAUUAAUGGAUAGCUCUCAUCGGAACAAUCAGUUGGACAUAUGGAUGACCUAAAUUGGACAGUGAACGUGAAAGUUAUGGAGAUUGAAAGAUGACAUGAACAAUAAUACAGUAUCACCUCGUUGAUUCGGUGCGGUGGUGUUUUCAAUGAUUCCCAAUGCAAGGUCAUACUGCAUGAUGGACUUUACUAUCAGAUAGCUCUCCUCAUGCUGAUCAAAAUGGACAUGUAGAUGAACCCAGGGAGUUAUGUUCGACUAAAGGUGACGCGCUACAAUUGAUUGGUCUUAGUUAUAAAUUGAGCAUCAAAAUGCUCGGUCGUUACAGAUAGUUUGGGGAUUUUCUUCCAUAGUAGCACCGAUUGAUUCGGUCCUUCUUUGCUAAAUGAGCCGGCCAUUCCAUAGAGUCGAGAGGUUCACCAAUAGUAAGAUCGAUUGAUAUGGUGCUACUAUAGCAAAAUGGGUCGGUCAUUCCAUAGAGAUUGAGGAGGCUUCUCUAACCUCACCGAUUAAUUCGGUAAAAUGCAUUGGUCCUUCCACCGAAUGAGUAAGCCAUUCUAGAGCCGAAUCUGAGCCGAGCCUAUGAGCAACGAUCGAUUCAAUCAGGCCUAACCCUAAGGCAUCAACGAAUGGGUCGGUACUUGUUCCAAAUUAUGGAUUUUAACGUGUUUUCUAGAUUUAUUUUGUUUGAGGGUUUUCUUAGCCCAUGUAUUAUUGGUUCGGGACUAUUUAAUGCUCCCCUAUCUUUUGGACAAGUCCAUACCACCCCACAUAUACUUGAGGGGUGUAGGCUGAUUGAAUCAACCCAAUCAAAUCUAUCAAACACAAUUAGUCCUUUUUUCCCUUUACUGACUUUUCCAACCCUAGUUACUGUUCAUUUUUUUCAUCUCCACAAUGAUCUACAACGUCCUAGCUAGCCUGCUGAGUCUAGGGCACUCCAUUGACCGCCACAUCGUGAUGGAUCCCUCUCAGGCACGGCAUUCAUCAGAUUCAAGUCCUUCUACAGCAUGCCUUGCACAUCAUACUCGUUGUUGAGGGUACAUGUUGUGCCUUUAGUGUAAGGCAUGAGCCAGUAAUAUGGAAAGAAAAUAUUUAUAGUGUCAAACUGUCGAUCGAAGUAAGGCAUAUAAAUUUCCUCAUUUUUUUUGCCAUGUCAAACAUUUAGGCAGCGUCGGAGGAAAUAAAUAGCAGUUGACUCGUGAUGUACAACCAAAAAAAAGUUUGUAGGAUCAAGUUCCACCACUGAAAUGGCAAGUUCAUGUUUGGAAUGGAUGAAUCAGCGUUAUUGAGGCUUUGACUUUUCUUCUGCCCCAAAGAAAAAUCGGAGUGCAGUUGUUAAUAUUUAUCAGGAAAUUAUUUAUAAAUAUAUAAAUACCAUUUUCCACACUGGUAGAGAUCAGCGGACACUACUAGUACAGUACUACUACCAAGUUUUACAAGUCAAGUCGCCGGUAGCCGAACUCUUAACACUCGUUCAGUUGGUAUUUUUGACUCUCCUUACACCAAGUGAUGGUCGACGUCUCCAUUGUUAAAGGAUAGGUUUCGGUUUCUCUCUUCCCCCGCAUCACUUUUCUUUCACGAUUUUCUGCUUGCUUGAACUUCAGACGGUGUGGAAUGUUCCUUUGCUGAGAUUGCGCGGUUACUUUUAUGUUUGAUCAUACUUUUUCCAAGAAAAAAUCUCGCGGUUGACGUGUUCCUGUGUGAGGACGUUCUUUCCGCGUAAUCGCGAGUCGCCGCUCGGAAGUCGUGCGUGCGCCGCUCGGAAGCUCACAUACCAAUCGGAGCUAACAAAUUAAAACAGCCAGAUGAGCUCGCCUCGCCUUCUCGCCGUCAUGGCUGCUCACCUACCACGCCUCCCCGUCCUCCUCUUCAUCUUCCUCGCCCUUCAUGUCCCCGCCUCCCAUGGCGACCCUCUUCCAACCACAUACGAUGGCUCCAUAUGCUUGGAGUCGUCGUUCUCGUGCGGCAGAGUCCAAAUCCGCUACCCGUUCUACCUUGCCAAUUCAACCAAAGCAACCUCCGAUUACAGCGGAAACUACUCUUGCGGCUACACCGAUCUGGAGAUCUCCUGCCUGGGCGAGGGGCCGAGCGCGAGCCCGGUCAUCCGUCUCGGCGGCGAAACCUACACCGUUCAGGACAUCUCCUACGACAGCGACAACUACAAGGUUACUCUGGUGGACAGAGACGUGCUCGUCGGCGGCAGCUGCCCUGCAGUCCGCCACGGCGUCACCUUCGACGGGAUGUGGCUGCAUAACACCAGCUCCAACGACGACCUCACCUUCUACUUCGGCUGCUACUCAGGCGGGCCCCGCAUGCCGGCUGGAUUGCACAAAUACCAAAUCGACUGCAAUUUCGAGAGUCCGGUUCCUGGCGGCGGAGUUGCGUUUGUAUUGACACCUGAUGAUCAUGACAAAGCCCAAGAGCACGACCUGGCUGCAGACUGCACGGAGGUUGUCUCCGUGCUAGUAAAGACUGAUGCUCUGAGUAUGGCAAGUAACCGGACCAACUUUACAAGUGGCGGAUAUGGGGACGUGCUGAAGCAGGGGUUCGAGUUGAGCUGGAGCCGUAUCGCGACGGAUCAGUGUCCCCAGUGCGAGCAGUCCGGUGGAAAGUGCUCCUACAGUCAGAACAAGAGAUUCCAGGGUUGCUUGUGCUCCGACAGGAAGGUGGGCAACCCGGACUGCAACAGCACCGCGCCUGCGCCUGCGCCUGCAUCAAGUAAGUCUUUCAGACCUGAUGCUUCGAUUGCACAUUCGGCAGUUUCUUGUGACCCUCGUUAAUUCGCGUCUCGUUGUGUCCCGCUGAUUGCCUCGUGCUAAUGGUGAAAGUUAUGGGCUGGCCUGGUCUGAAAUUAGUUGGGUCUGCCUGGAAAAUUAGUGCCUGGGUAGGUAGAAAAUAGAAGCUCUGGUUCCCGUUCUAAUCAAAUGACAAGGACGGUUAUAGCCGUAUUUGCUUUGAUAUACUUUUUCACCAAAUCCGUGCUUUUUCACGAACGAUUCAGGCGGUCUGCCAUGCUCCACAACCGUAUUACCCUUGUUUCAGUGUAGAACAUACCAGUCCACACUCCACAGACCAGGAGCUUAGAACUGGCUUUGGCAGGCAGUGGCAGAAUGUUCAGUGGCGCACUUGGUUAAUUAGAUGAGUGGACUUUUUUUGGACUUGACAUGGUUAUAAGCAGCGACUACACCGUCCAGAACAUCUUCUACAACACCAGAACCAUCAUCCUGGCCGACAGCGACGUGAUGAUCGGCGGUGGCUGCCCCAGCGUCCGCCACAACGUCAGCUUCGGCCGGGAGUGGCUGCGGCUGCACGACACCAGCUCGCACGACCACAACCUCACCUUCUUCUUCGGCUGCUACCGUCGCGACCCCGUGCCGCCCGGACUUGCCGCGUACAGAGUCAACUGCUCGGGGUUCCAGAGCCCGCCCGGAGCCGGCGGCUGAGUCUCCUUCGUGUUCGCGUCGUCUCGAGAGGUCGUUGACACAUCCCACGAGUACGAGCUGGCCGCUGCGCACUGCGGCGAGGUCGUCACCGUGCCGGUGCGCAGCGAGAGUCUGGUGGGGAGUGACCAGGCCAUGUUGGCAAGCGGCGGAUGCGGCGACGUGCUUAGGAAGGGGUUCGAGCUGGCCUGGAGCCGGAGGACGACGGAUCUGUGCUACCUGUGGGAGCGGCGGGACUCCGGCGGGCACUGCGCCUACGGCCCGAGCAAGGAAUUCCUUGGCUGCUUGUGCUACGACGGGAAGGUGAUCUAUCGGAGCUGCAGAGGCAAUGGUGCCAUCGAGUAAGUCGUUCGCAACUGAUCCUUCGACGAUUUCACUCGCUCAAUUCUGGGGUCUCCAGUGACACCAGACCACGGGUUAGCUUCCUUGUGCCCCGUGUGUUCCGUGUGCACGACAGCGCGUUCCCCUCUGCUCUGCUGCUGUUUGACUUGACCUGGUCCGGAGUAGUUGGUUUGCCUGAAAAAUAUACGUGGGUAGCAGGGUAGGUAGAAAAACGUAGGAAUUCUGAUUCCUAUUUCCGUUCCUCAUUCGACAAAGGAUUACACCCUUUUUCAUGAACGAGAUUCAUCAGACGGCCCGGCGGCCUGCUGUGCUCCACAGCGUCUUGUAGAGCAGAGAACCAAACUGUCCUUGCUUUCAGUCUGAACUCCGAAACAAUAGUCAGGUUUACUACCUACUACGACUAUUGAAAGUGUGAAACACAGCCUGCACAUACCUGGUUUGCAUCGCUGAAUUGAGAGGUUAGCUAGCAACUGACCAGAACCUUUUUUUUUUCCGUAACACUCUAGAACACGUGUGAUACUUGAGUUGCUGCAGGCUCUUCAUUGGAGCGACAGCACACUGGCCGUGGGAGCAGAGACCGCCAUGCGAGUACCCCAAACGCUAUGUUUGGUCCAAAUUCAAGACGUGUUGCUGAAGUCGGAGAAAAGCCUAGUUUUGUGUUCACUGGACCAACUUCACAAGUGGCGGAUACGGGGACGUGCUGAAGCAGGUGUUCAAGUUGAGCUGGAGCCGUAUCGCGACGGAUCAGUCUCCCCUGUGCGAGGGUUGCUUGUGCUCCAACCGCAAGGCGGGUACCCGGACUGCAGACCAAGUAAGUCUCCAACACUGAACUAGGGGUGGCUAUCGAGCCAGCUCGGCUCGGCUCGGCUCGCUCUGGCUCGUUAGGAUAAGGAGCUGGCUCGGCUCAGCUCGUUAUCUUAACGAGCUAGAAGUCCUGCUCGGAUCGGCUCGUUUGCCAGCUCGAGCUGGCUCGUUUAGCUCGUGAGCUAGCUCGUUAACGCUGUGUCCAGGGUCGCGAUGGCCGUCGCUGCCGGCGCCAUGUAGCCCCGGAGCCCUGCCCGCAUAGACGCAAAAGCUUGCUCAGCACAAGAUUUGGUGGCUGACUUGCUACAGAUGAGAAGAAUCAACUCAAAUUGCUAGCAAGUUCCCGCUGACUGAUUGGUUACCUUGUAGUGGCUGAAAUCGAACUAGAGCUGUUCUUUCAAAAAAAAGAACUAGAGCUGCGGUAUGCUUGGCCUCCGGGAGCAGCGUGCUCCCUUGCCACCUCCUACUCUGCAGGUCCGCACUUGAAGGCGGAGCAGAUGGCCACGAUGGCUUCCGCCGCCAGCAGGAAUCAGAAGCAGCAGCAGCGCCGCACCCACCUGCCUCUCCGGCUUUUGCCGCCCGACCCGUCGUUCCUGCAGGCUGUAGUGGUCGUCCCCAGCAAGCGCAUGGCAGAUUGCAGCAAUGCCUGCUUGUUCGAAGCUGCAGUGGCGUCGGGCGGCGGUGUCGAGCGGCAGGUUGGCGACGCGUGUGGACGCGACGGCGGACCGGCAGGUCCGCAGGUGAGCGAGACACGAGAGGCAAGUGCUAGCGGCUGGGCAUGCACGAGAGUGGAUAAGGUUGAUUGGAGCUUUGGAGGAGCGCUGGAGUCUUGAGGGUGUUUAGUUUGCUACUUGGGCUGUUGCUGGGCUUAUAGCUUUCGCGGGCUGCUUAGCAAUUAGCACUGGCCUGCUUCCUCGAAUGCUGCUGGCCUGCCACUGAACGGCUCGUUUGGCUCGUGAGCCAACUCGAGCUGGCUCGUUGUCGUAACGAGCUGAAAUGCUAGCUUGGCUCGUUGAGAGAAAUUUUAGUCAUAGCUUAAAAUAGCAAUCCAUAUAGUCAUCUGCUGGAGCUAGUUUUUUUUGUUUUUAAGUAUUCUGGUAGUUUUUAGUAUAGCAAACCAGUUCAGGUCAUUUACUGCAGAUGAUCUGACAUCAUUUUGAUAGGCAAGUACAUGUCUAUAGUAAGCAUCUAUUGAAUCUGGAUUUCCAUCUUAAGGAUCCCUUUGUUUGUGCUUUUCAAAGUAUUUUCGGCUUAAAAAAAACAAAAGCCAACCAAAUAGGUAAUCCCAUACAAUUGAUUUCAAGAAAAGCAGCUUUCCCUCUGUAUAAAUCUCAUAGCACCUCCUCCCUUACUUUUCCUGACUAUGAGGGAUAACUUUUUCACAAAAUUACCUUCCUGUCAUCGGUUAUGAGCAUGCCCCUUCAAUUUUCUUUUCUAUCAUGUCAUCUCCUCCCUCGUGGUUCCCUCUCGCUCGCUUGUUUUCCUCCGACGACGAACGCUUGGGUCAUGAACUCUUCGGCCUCCCUCCGCCCUCCUCCUCCCAGGCGCCAGCACCCCUAUCCGCCCCACGCCAGCACCCGCCUCCAUCUACCAUCCUCCACCUAGGUGCACAAGUAGUAGGUGCGCCCGGCCUCCUCCUCCUCGGCGGACGGUGCCAAUCUGGAUCUCGGGCUUGCCGGCGGAGUCCUCCCCUCUGACAACUCCAACACCGGCAACUCCAACUCGAGUCUUUCGGCUGGCUUGCUCCCGAGCGGCGGGUCCUCGAGCCCCCGGCGGUCGGCGCGGGCGCGGUCCCUGUCCCGGCAACGCGACCUCCUCGUCGAGCCCCCUCCCCUAACUGCGGCCGCGACCGCGGCAAUGCUGCUGCCGGCGAGGCCGACGUUGUCCCCGUCAUCUGUGCGCCGGCUCCUGCGCGGCCAAGGUUUGUCUCUUUGAGUCCAGAGGAAGAAUAAGGUGCUCAUCGUGGUCCGUUCAUCAGUGAGAAAGGGAAGGGUUGAGUAGGGUGAAGUAUGAAUGACACGUGGAGUUUCACUCACAAGUGUUUCCUAAAAGUCACAGUUGUUCCACCAAACAGCUUUUCCAUAGCUCACUACUACUUUUCCAUAGCUCACAGCUAAUUUUUUCAAAAGUUACAGCUUAACCAAACACACCCUAAGAGUCUGCCACGCCACAAAGCACCUUUCUCAGCGAAAUCGUUCCUAAUGAACCAAAAAAACUGUUUUUUAGCAAAGUCGGAGCCUUUUAAGAGCAAUUACAAUCAGCGUCGGCAACGACAUGCAGCCGGUGGCACAUUGUUCUGCCACUUCUCCACCGGACUGAGACGCGUAACCAGAUGGGCACACUCGUGCGCUACAUUAUUACAUAAACGACUCACAAAGGAGAAUUUAAAAUCUAAGAGGCUCCGACUAAGAGAUUCAAUCUGUUGCAGCCAAGGCGAGAUCCGCGACCGCUGCUCUUUGCGUUGCUCCCAUAGUUUCACCAGCUUCUGGCAAUCUGUCUCCAGGUGGACACACUGGGUUUGAAAGUCUACUGCCAGCUUGAGGCCAUCAUAUGCCGCCAUCGCCUCAGCCACCAGGCCAUCCAGGCAGGAGUCUAUCCAUCUCGCGCGAGCGCCCAAGCAUCUCCCGUCGUGAUCACGGAGCACCCCACCCGAGGCACCAGUGUGGGUAUCUUCCUGGAACGCUGCAUCAGUGUUGCACUUUAUCUACCCCAGCUCCGGCUUCUUCUUCCUCCAUUUCAGCUGGUCUAACCGGCUUCUUCACCUUGCCCGCUUUGACCAUCUGCCAUAGAUCGAAAGCUGUAUUCCUGAACCAAAAUACUGUUUUGAAGUAAACUUAAGUAAAAUUUGCCCACCAGUCGCAACUCGCACCUUGGUAUCAGGACUAGCGGGUUUCCUUGGUGGAUUUUUGAGUUAGCAAGAAAUGUGUUACAUAGAAGUACUACAGUAUUUGGAAAUGGCAAAUUUUCUGGUGAAAUUAUAUGAAAUAUCUGUCACAACUCACAAGCAAUUCUUUUGCGCCCGUCAAUUAACCAACUUGGAUCAUGUGAGUCCUAAGAGGACAAAUACAGAGCCGAUGACUACAGGCGACUAGCAUGUGUUCCUGGUAGUGACUGGCAAUGCCAAUGGAUUCCAUGUAUCUAUGUACAUGUUCAAUAUUGGUGUCAAACUGUCAAUUGCCAAAUCUUUCUAGAGAAGGCUUGAAACUAGUGCCUAUUUUCGUUCACCUGCCUUUUUCAUGAAGCCAUGUAAUCUGUUUUUGGGUGUACGGUAGAAUAUUGUUAGCUUUGUAAGAUGCUUAUAUAUGCAAUUUAUGUGCACUUAUGUGUUUCUUUGCGUGUGUAAUUUGCAGGGCAUGGUAAUAAGAAAACUACAAUCGGUAAGGAACCUCAAUCUUGGGUUCACUCAGUGUUUUUCUUUUGUAUAUUCGUAUACUAAUCUGUUACAAAGCCUGCUUUACAUGUGCCUAUAUAAUCUGCACCCAGUUCAUUUAGCAUAAAAGAGCAGAAAACAAAGGCAUGGCACGCCAUGUUUUAAAAUCCAUGAUUCUCACAAAUAUAUUAUUUUGGAAUCCACUGCCGGUGACAACAAUGCCGAAAAAUUAUAUCGUCCCUUUGGAAAAUAAACUUUCGAGUUUCCCUACUGACCGGCAAUAUAUGCAUUAUGCUUUGCAAAAUGGAUUUUUAGAACGCUUCGCAAAAUGACUGAACAUUGGAGAAGAAUUUUUAUCCUUCCUCUGGGAAAUAAACCUAUGUGUUUCCCUACUGACUUUGCAAAAUGAAUUCCUAGAGCACUUCACAAAAUGGAUUCACUUGUGAUGCCUUGUUGUGAUGCAGAUAUUGUUGCAAGCAUAUCGAGCCUUCUAUUUCUGAGUCUACUUAUUCUCGCGUUCUUCUUGACCUGCAAAUAUGGUUCACUGCCCUUUAAAUCAAAGAACAAACCAAGGAUUGAAUCCUUUUUACAAAAGAAUGGGAACCUACAUCCUAAAAGAUACAGUUAUGCAGAUGUGAAAAGAAUGACAAAGUCUUUUGCUGUUAAGCUAGGCCAAGGUGGAUUUGGUGCUGUAUACAAAGGUAACCUCUCUAAUGGUAGCCAGGUAGCAGUAAAGAUGCUAAAGGACGUCAAGGGUGAUGGGGAGGAAUUUAUGAAUGAGGUGGCUAGCAUUAGCAGAACUUCUCAUGUCAAUGUUGUUACCCUUCUAGGAUUUUGUUUGGAAGGAUCCAAAAGGGCUCUCAUUUACGAGUACAUGCCUAAUGGUUCACUGGAAAGGUAUGUCUUCAGCAGCAAUUUAAACAGUGAAAAUACACUAAGCUGGGAGAAAUUAUUUGACAUAGCAAUUGGCAUUGCUAGAGGACUUGAAUAUCUCCACCGAGGAUGCAAUACUCGCAUCGUGCAUUUUGACAUCAAACCCCAAAAUAUUCUAUUAGACCACGAUUUUCGCCCUAAGAUUUCUGAUUUUGGAUUGGUCAAGCUAUGCCUGAAUAAAGAGAGCGUUAUCUCCAUUGGUGGUGCAAGAGGAACAAUAGGAUACAUUGCCCCUGAGGUGUACUCAAGGCAAUUUGGGAUAGUAAGUAGCAAGUCUGAUGUCUACAGUUAUGGUAUGAUGGUGCUUGAGAUGAUUGGGGUAAGGGACAAAAAUAUCAAUGCAGAUAGCGAAUCUAGUAGCCAAUAUUUCCCUCAGUGGAUUUAUGAGCAUGUGGAUGAAUACUGCAUCAGUGCUUCUGAGAUUAAUGGUGAGACUACAGAGCUUGUGAGAAAGAUGAUAGUGGUAGGUCUCUGGUGCAUACAAGUAAGUCCAACUGAUCGGCCAACAAUGACUAGAGUCGUGGAGAUGCUAGAAGGCAGCACAAGUAACCUGGAAUUGCCACCAAAAGUGCUCUUGAGUUGAUAAGGAUCCAUAUGUUCCUAAUAAAAUGUUGCUAACUGAUACCAGAUUUCACACCUGCAAAAUAUUUGCUGUAUAUUGAAAAAUAAAGGGCUGCCUCAGAUGUUAUUUUUGGUCUGUAAACAUGCUUUCUAAUUUUAUUUGCCAGUAAUUAGCUGGCUGGGGGAUCACACAACGUUGUAUGAUGGUAUAAUUUGGAUCAUGCUGGCUACUAUUACUAGUACAAGCUCUCUUCUGUGUCAUUUGUACUCAGUUCAUUGGACAAUUGCAUUUCAUAUUCAGUAUUAGAUUAGGUUUUAAAUACCUACCCCUCCUACAAAAUUCAAUACAAACUGCCGAUGACAACUAAAACUUCCCUUGAUGAUUCAGAUCAGAACUACGUACAAAUCUACAGUGUAAAGUUCUUGCAUACCUGAAUUAGUUAUUGGACAUUGGGGAUUUAGACACUGGGGUUACCGAAGUCUGGGUGGCUAGCAAUGCUCCCCGAUGCGAUAGAUUGCCUUCGCCUAAGUCCAGGCACCGAAAGACUCAUCCCCGGAAUCGCGAGGCUCACCAUCGCUGGACUCAUCGGAUUCCAAUUUCCAGUGCCGUGCGGGUUAACGGCGAGAUCGUGGAAAAGGCGAGAGGUAGCCGAGAGGACGCGAUGGGCCAUUUUAUUUUGACGGGCCGUGGGCUACCACCCAGGUUUUCAUGUUCUUUUCCGCUGGUAGGUUGGCCCAUUUACCAUCGCUGUUACUGUACCUGUUACCAUCGAACUCAUCCAGGAUGAUGGAGGUAAUCUUCGGACUCAAAUCCAAGAAGACCUUGUGAGUUGACCCGCGAUCUUGCUGAAUCGUCGGCGGAACAAUAAAAUGGAUCAGUUGAACCUGUGCUCCAUGUCAUACUCGGACUCGCUGUAUCUCCUAAUAUAUAUCUCUCUCUCGAGUCUCGACGCCGCAUAUGCAGAGGCGGAGAGGUUAGUCGUACGUGAUCAUCAAGAUCUAGCCGCUGUUCGCCAUGGGUUCACCGAACGCGGCCAGAAAAAGCUGAAAAAAGCACGCCGUUUGGCUGCUAGUUUCAGCUUAUUUUAGCUGUAAGCAUGAUUUAAACUGCAAACAGGAUCAAAAUCUUGAGGAUCUAGCUGCGGCGGCGAACGCGGCCGCAGCAGGGACAACAAGCACUGAUCCAUCAGCAGGUGCCCCGGUCGACCAUGAUCGAGACGAGGAACCGAACUGCGCGCAGCCGCAUCUGAUCGGGUCUACAAAGUACGGAGAUGAUGGCCAUGUUACCGUGCAGCUCAUUCGUGUUCUGUUUAAAGGUGACUGACUGCCCAGCCCAGCGAUGAAACAUUUUCGUCCUAACGAAACAAAGUACUCCCUCCGUCCUUAAAUUUAUAAGGUUUAGGAUAAGCUAGUUUGUUCAUUUUUUUAACUAAUUUUAUGAACAGAAAUAUACUCCAUACUUCUAUGUAAAAAAAAAGUAUAGCUUCCUUCAAAAGAAAUGCUGGUCCUUGAAUUUUAUGAGCAAAAAUGUCAUUGGUGAAAAUGUGUCACUUUCCAGUUUCCCUCGUGGUAUAUCUGGAGCCCGCCGGACCGAUUAUUACACCGUUACGCGCUGACGACAGCUGUUUGGCUAAUGUCCAUCGCUCCAUACAUUUAUCACUGCUUAAAAAUUAUCGCGUGCUUGAGCUCAAGACAAGCUCACCAGCUUCCCUACGUCCAAUUGUCUCCUGACUACUCCAUGCGCUACAGCACUAGAGACAGCGAGACUACCCGGCAAUUGCUAUAUGCGAUUGCCUUGCCGUUAGCAAAGCAUUUUGACACUUUCUCCUGUAAACCACAUGCACAAUCGCGUCCUCAGAAUAUAGUGCACUCGCCACAUUAUUGAGCCUGCAGGCCGUGUGCCAUCUCCAAUUCCACGAUGUUCGGCAAGCUCCGCUUCUACGCAUCCCUCCUUUUUGCAGUAUCGUCCGUCCUCGCCGCGGCGGCCUCCGACGACGUCAAAAUCGCCGUGUACUGGGGCCAGAACGCCAGCGAGGGCACGCUCAGGGACACCUGCAGCACGGGCCUCUACGCCUACGUCAACAUCGCCUUCCUCUCCACGUUCGGCGACGGCCGCGCCCCGGUCCUCAACCUGGCCGACCACUGCGACCCCCCGUCGGGGGGCUGCGCGUCCCUCGCCACCGACAUCGCGUCCUGCCAGUCCGCGGGCGUCAAGGUGCUCCUCAGCAUCGGCGGCGGCGCGCUCGGCGGCUACAACCUGUCCUCACCGUCGGACGCGCAGGGCGUGGCCGCGUACCUCUGGGACAACUUCCUCGGCGGCACCGGCGUCGCGGGCGCGCCCCGCCCGCUCGGCGGUGCGGUGCUCGACGGCAUCGACUUCGACAUCGAGGCCCCGUCCCAGUACUACGACGACCUCGCCCGGAACCUGACGUCGCUGUACAGGGGCGACGCGCGGGGCCGGGCGUACAUGCUCACCGCGGCGCCGCAGUGCCCGUUCCCGGACGCGUCGCUCGCGACGGCGCUCGGCACGGGGCUGUUCGACCACGUGUGGGUGCAGUUCUACAACAACCCGCCGUGCCAGUACGCGCCCGGCGACGACGCCGCGCUGCGGAGCGCGUGGCGGCAGUGGACGGCGGGCCUGCCCUCCGCGACCGUGUUCCUGGGCCUGCCAGCGUCGCUGGACGCCGCGGGCAGCGGGUUCGUGGACGCGGACACGCUCGCGUCGCAGGUGCUGCCGGCGGUGGAAGGCGCGCCCAACUACGGCGGCAUCAUGCUGUGGAGCCGCUCCUACGACAAGGAUACUGGAUUUAGCGUCAAGCUGCAGGGCAUCUUGCGAAACCGGAACGAUCAAACAGGUACUGAUCGUGUUAUUCUGUCAGACGCUUUUGUAUUCUUGUUGACGUCGACCCAGUCAUAAUUUUCAUCAAAUUAAGGUUGUUUGAUUGGCAAAUUUCAGGGGGCGGCACAUCUUCAGAUAAGGAAAGGAGGAUCUGUAAGUGUUGCUCUUUGUCAGAUUCUUUUUUUAACACUCUUUGUCAGAUUAUCCAACCACCAACUGCUAUUUUACUAGACUACCAUAGAGUGACCGUAAAUCUGUAGAUAUGCAGCAUAACUCAAGCUAUUGCAAGAUAUUGAUUCAUUUGACAGUUCAUUUUCAUGCCUUUUUAACUCCCUGCUAUCUGUGCAGAUAUAAUAGUAGGAGUUGCUGUUGCUGGCGUACUGCUGCUGUUCCUGCUUAUUUGCAGUUGCUUCCUCUGCCACAGGAAAUACCGUGGCACACCACCUCCUGUGGAGGGAUCAACGACGCCUCCAGCUCCAAAGACAGAACCAUCUCAGCCAAAACAAAGACCUCAGCGUCUGAAACGAUACACUUAUUCAGAGGUUGAGAGGAUGACAAAAGCUUAUGCUCACAAACUGGGCCAUGGCAGCAAUGGUGAUGUUUACCGAGGCUACCUCCGUGACGGCUGUCAGGUAGCGGUGAAGGUGCUGAAGAACAGCAAAGGUGAUGACAAGGAGUUCAUGAGCGAGGUCGCCAGCAUCGGCAGAAUUUCUCAUGUCAAUGUUGUUCCUCUGCUGGGGUUUUGCUUGCAAGGCCCGACAAGAGCUCUCAUCUACGAGUACAUGCCCAAUGGCUCCCUUGAAAGCUAUGCUUUCAGCAACAAUGACUCUGUAGAAGACAAUUAUUCGCUAUGGCUCUACUGGGAGAAGCUGUUUGACAUCGCCAUCGGUGUCGCGCGGGGGCUGGAGUAUCUCCAUGGACAGGGCAAUGCUAACAUUCUGCAUUUGAAUGUCAAGCCCUGCAAUGUUAUGCUGGAUCAGGAGUUAUGCCCAAAGAUAUCUGAUGUGGGCGUGGCAAACUUAUGCCAUGGCAAAGAGAAUAAGAGGUCCACUGGCGAUGCCAGGGGAAGAGAUGGCUAUGAUGCCCCUGAGGUAGUGUCCAGGAAAUUUGGAGCAAUCAGCAGUAAAUCCGAUGUCUACAGCUACGGCGUGAUGGUCCUUGAGAUGGUGAGGGCCAAAAGGAAUAUCAGUGUUGGUGCUGACACCACCAGCAAGUAUUUUGCUCAGUGGCUAUAUGAGCAUCUGGAUCAGUUCUGCAGUAGUAUUUCUGACAUCAGUACUGAGACAAGGGAUCUUGUGAAGAAGAUGAUCAUAGUUGGGUUGUGGUGCAUACAAACUGUGCAAACGAACCGGCCUUCGAUGAGCAGAGUUGUCGAGAUAUUGGAAAGUAGCAGCACAGACUUGGAAUUGCCAGUAAGGAUCUCUUGAGGAAUGGAGUCAUGGUUGUAACUUGUAAGCAUUGUUCAUAUCAUGAGCAGUGUCUGUGUGCUCUUAAGAUAAACAUGCUUGUGGAUUUGUAUCUUCUUCUUUUUCUAGAGAGCUCAGGUGGUGCUACCGACAGUGUAGAAAUGGUUUCAAUCGUCGUAACUCUGCUUGAGAAACCACUCAUGUGAUCCUGCUCGGAACAUUUCAACAUCAGCACAUUUACACCAUUUCAGGGGCCAGUCAGGUGAAUCCGGAAUUUUUUUUUUAAAAAAAGAUCUUCAUAAGACAACAGAAAGGUCCACAAUAAGCUGGAACAUGACAGAACAAGAUCAGACCAUCUCACUGCAACUGCAAAGACAACACCUGAAGAGACAGCCACACGCUGACAUGCCCACACACCAACAGGCUACAGCGAGUAUACAAAGUAAUCGACAGAGCCCCGACGGAGAUUCGGAGGCAACAGCAAGAGGCGUCACACGGAAAUCGGUUACAGACAGGUAGACAAGCCUAGCACCUGAGCCUCCGGACACGACAGACGGCCGCAAUCCUCCUGCCCUCCCGGGAGUUGAUGUACCUACCCAGGUCGAGGUUCUUGCUGUACCUGCACAGGCACGGCAUCUGCCCCCUGAGCUUAGCGCAGCACUCGCCGGACGGCCGCGCGCCGUAGAUGACCGCCGGGGCGCACGGGCGCAGCGCCAGCGGGUCGCACGUCGGCGGCCGCCCUGUCCUGGACGCCCGGCACACCGUCGUGAAGGGAGCGGCGAGCAAAGCCACAAGGAGCAGGAACUGGAUCGCGUAAAGCUUCAUCUUCAUGGCUGGUUUGCGAAUUUUGCGAUCGGCUGGCAACGAUUGGAAUGGCUUGGGGCCAAGAGAGAGGGCUGGUAUAGCGGUAUUUGAAGCGAGUCCCAGGUCUCGACUCGUGUCGGGAAGUGUGUUGCACCGUCGCGUAAACGUUACUGCACACGGUCGUUCACUUGACGGCCUGGGGUCCCUGAAUUCUGAACUACUCGCUGGCUUGGAGUAAUAAGAUUGCGGCGUACUCCACUAAGGUUAUUGAAUACUGUGCAAUACAAUGACAAAGUUGUUUGACUGCGUGCUCAAAUGCGAGUAGUAUUCUUUCGGUGGCAGCCUGGUAGGCAACGUGCUCAUCAAUAACGAAGUGCUAAUGGUGAUUUUAUCAGUCUUGAGGAUUAGCUGAUUUUAGUCUCUUGGAAAUGUAUAUGGGUAUGGUUGCUCAUCAAUAACGAAGUGCUAAUGGUGAUUUUAUCAGUCUUGAGGAUUAGCUGAUUUUAGUCUCUUGGAAAUGUAUAUGGGUAUGGUUGCAUGUGUGUAUUCAUAGAGUGUGCGUGCGUAUGUAUAAUCGUUUGCAUAUACACUGUGUUUCAUUGAGUUAGCAGAGCCUAAUGUAGCAGUGAGGAACAACUAGAGGGAAAAUUAGAUAUGUACCAUUGAAAGAUUGUGUCUUUAGAAAUAUACCGUCAAAAGAUUGUAUUGAAAGGUUACAUCAAAAUUGGAUAUGUAACAUUUGUUUGAAUCUUACCACAUCUAUGAAGUCUCUAUUAACUAGGACAUAUAUACCCCUACUAGAGCAGCAGGUGCUCCCAUCGAUCUCCUCACUGGUAAGGAUCCAAUUUUCCCUUCACUAGAAUAUAUAUAUGAUAGUAGAGGUUUAAUGUAUACUGUAAAUAUAAUUUGAAUAAUUUCUGAGUGUGAAAACAAAUUAUAGCAACUGAGAAUCCCCAACCAACAUUUUUUUUAAAAAAAAUCAUCCAUUUAAUAAAUUACUCUUGAAAAAUAUCUUAAUUACACUAAAAGCUUCAUGGGUAUUUAAGAAAAUUAUAAAGAAGACUCGAGUCGCGACCAUCGGCGAUUUUCAAAAGCACUCUAAAAAUGUUUAAAAAAUCUAGUAGUGAUCGCUGUUGCUGGCUAGUGUAGUGGUUUUGUGGCAAAUAGUGAAUCCGAGGAUACGUAAAUGUGCCUGUCAGCUUAACAACCAAAGUCGCUCUUCAGCCUCCUCCGGGCGCAUUCAGCUCGAGAAAAUGCAAGACCAAAUGUACCUUUCCCGAACCCGAAGGCACCAUCUCAUCUGUGUUUUUUUUUUUCUCCGAGAUUUGUGCAGCUAACCGUGAGCCGAUGAGCGUGCGCAACCGAGCCCAAGUCCAAGCAGAAAUUAACAUCUCGCUUUCCCAGGUGAAGCACGGGUCAUUAGACAUUACUGACAUGAGUUUUUCAACUUCUGCUACAUCCAGUAACUAAGAACAUUAAGCAAUCGGAACAAACAAGUAAACAGAUAUGGCAAGACCAACUUUAUUCGACAUAAACCUCAAACCAUCCUAACUUAACCGUUUCUUCGUGUGCCAAAGUUCGUCUUCAUUUUAUUUCAGAGCCUUUGUGCUAGCCGACUCUGACCACCCGGCACCUACGCUUCAGCAGCUACCGCGAUCAGGGGCUCGCGACCCGCGCGCGCCGCGGACGGAGAGCUAGAGAGCUACUAGCAGCUGGGCACGGGCACCUUGCAGGCGGUGAACACCCUCCGCUUGUGCCUGGUGUCGACGAGGCGCUUCAGGUUGGCGUCGUCCUUGAACCGGCACAGGCAGUUGGGCCCGUGGGACUUGAGCGUGGCGCAGCAGGCGGGCGUCGGGGAACCCUUCCCCGCGAACGCGCUCGCGCACGGGCUCAGCUGCAUCACGUCGCACGGCGCCAGCGCCGAGAAGUCGGCCGCGGCGUGGCUGGCGAGGAGGCUCACCACCACCGCGACGAGGAGGAAGACGGCCGGCCUCAUCCCGACGAUCGCAGGUGGGGUUUUCGCUGGACUGGGACUGGGAGGCCACGAGAAGUCGUCAGGAGCUACAGCGUCCAGUGGGCAGAGUUGCUCGCAGCUUUUGUAGGCCGUCGCCCGGUAGCAGUGUAGUGUAGCACGCAGCAGGUGAGUCACGGUGUGAGCGUGCGAAACCGAGCGCAGUGCAGGUUAGGUGAAGCACGCCUGAUGAAGGGCUGCCUGCCAUCACGAUUCUGAGUUUCUGACGAGGCUAAGUACUGUACACAUACUGCAAGUGUAUUGAGUAUUGACGAGUAGAUUUCCAGUUAACAUACUGUAUGGUCAUGGUCUCGUACUCUCAUCGGUAUGUUCACAGUCCUAUUCAUUCUCAUAUAGGGAGCCAGAUCCUCUGAUUUUGAGGAUAUCGACAAGGGAAUUCUGGCAGAAGCCUUUUAACACAAACCAAUGGUCAAGCAGCGGCAGCCAGGCUUGCUUCUUGUCCCUAACAACGAGUAUCCCCCGCCCUGAGGCAAAGCAUCAGGUUGACGCAAACUUGCCGCGCAUUCGUUUAUUCCUCUCGAUGGUUCAAUCCCUGCAGAUCAAGCUAUCCUUUUCUUCUCAAUCUACGCCCCCUUGAGAUGAAAAUUAUACUAGCAUUUCGGGGGCUUAUAAAGACGCCCUUUCUGCAAUAGACCGAUCAGACAAAACAAGACAAGAGAUUAAUCGUCAAAAACUCUUAGAGCCAUGCAUCCUCAUUUUCCUAACGAUCACGGCAAUGAACGAGUGGGUGGUCCGUUCCAUAGGCACAGGUCGAUUCAUAGGCUUCUUGGCGGAGGAAAAGGUAAUGCUGCUCUUCUUUUCUUUCUGGACAAUUAACUUGCAUCAUUUGAAUUACCAAAGUUUCUGUCUGAAUCCAUGUGUUCAUGGAUUGCGUUGUUUGCCCCUCGCAGUGGCGGACAUUCUGCUGUGGAAGGACAGGAACUUAUCUGCAGGUGUGCUCCUCGGGGCCACGUUGAUCUGGUACCUGUUCGAAGUGGUUGAAUACAACGUAAUCCCGCUCCUUUCCCAGAUUGCCAUCUUGGCCAUGCUCGUGGUCUUCAUUUGGUCGAAUGCCGCGCCGCUCUUGAACAUGUAUGUCUUUGUUUCUUCUGGAUGUUUAUCGAAAUUCAAAUGUGACACAAAGGCACAAGAAGCAAUUCUCAACUAACCAAAUUUUCAUAGCAGACCCCCUCCAAGAAUCCCAGAAGUCAUCGUCUCUGAACAUGCCUUCCGACAUAUAGCACAGACCAUCCAUUACAAACUGGCAUACACUGCCGCUGCUCUUUAUGACAUUGCAUGCGGAAAGGAUCUGAAGAAAUUCCUCUUGGUACAUAACAAUCAAUUACUCUCCUACCUUUAUAACAAAAACCAUGUCACAGUUUUUCCAGUGUCAAGAUAUAUGCCAAGAUCCACGUGUGAUAUUUUUGAAUUUAAGAAAAAACUUACAAAUCACAUGUAACUGAACUGCAACCCAUUAUUUUGCCAAUAUUUUUCAUCACUUUUAUAGUGUUUUUGGGCAAUUUACAACACUUUAACCUUAGACUAACAAUAUGCUGUUUCUAAUAUUAAGGUGAUCUUUUCACUGCUAAUAUUGUCUGAGAUUGGAAGUUCUUACAGCUUCACAAGUCUACUAUAUCUCGGUGAGUACUGCGGUAAUUUUUAACAAGAUGAACACACAAAGAUCAUACAAACCAAUUGCUAUAAUACAUUUAACAAGUCUGAACAACUUACUUCCACAGGAUUUUUGUGUGCUCACACUUUGCCAGCAUUGUACCAAAGAUAUGAGACAGAGGUGGACCAUCUAGCUGCAAGAGGUAGUGAAGACAUCAAGAGGUUCUAUAAGAGGAUUGAUUCCAAUUUGCUCAACAAAAUACCAAGAGGCCCUGUCAAGUCAAAACCUAUAUAAGAUAUACUCCCUGAAGAUACAUCAAUGAUUCCCUCGAAAGGGAAUGAGCUAUCAUUUGAUUGCUUCCAGCGAAAAUGGUCCUAUUGUAAUUUGUACAAAGGUGUUUGAACCAGAAAAGCAAGAAGUAGCUUCAACUGAGCCUGGAGAAUUCAGACUGUCAGCAUUCAAAUGUACCUAUCAAUGCAUGGAUACAAGCAUAUUUUCAAGACUUCACAAUCAAUAUGAAAUGAACUAUAAUGUUGUAAUCUCAACAAAGCAGAUCAUUAAUAAGAAUUGAGUGGUGUUUUCUCUUUCAACUCUGACACCAUGGGUUUGUAUAAGUACAGCACAUGAAAAAAGAGCAUCCAAUAUGGACUCAGCAAGACAAAUAGCUAAGAUUGCCUAAUCGUCUAGGGAAAAAAGGAAUAUAAACAUGAUUACAUGACAUUCAUCAUUCAUUGUCUUCUAACAUGUGAAACGCUAGUGUUAUGUGUUUUACUCUUCAUUCUUGGUAUAUGCUGUGGGAUAUACUGGAAAAAAAUUAUUGGCUACAAGACACUAGGCAGGGCUCUGCAGCAAAGAAACUAGUGUCCUUUUUUUUCUUGAACCACGCAGGAGAACUGCGUGUCAUUUCAUUAAGGUAGAAACAAAAGUACACAAGUCUAGAAAGACCCAACCCGAGUACCAGGCAAACCCCACAAACACACAUAAACACACCCACACACUUACAGAAAACCAAAACUCACGGUCGCACCACGGAAUAGCAAAACAGACAACCAGCAGCCCUUCAGAGCUUAAGCUCCAAGAGGCAGCGACCUGGACAACCUGGACAUGAGUUCCUGGAGCUUGGAGGCCCCCGCCAUGCACCAGAGGCCACCCUCCGUGCUCACAGAACUGACAACCUUCCUACAGCAUAGAAAAUGCAUUUCAAUGUCCUACAUCUAAGGAUCAGUGUCCUGUUGCUAAUUUUUCCGUUUAAAUAACAUACAUGAGGAAUUCUCGAGGCAUCAAACAUUGCAUGAUUUAUUUGCAAAGAUCCAUUUGUACCUUAAAUGUUUGUGUACUGUGGAGAGUCAACUUGAAUCUGGAAUAUGACCAUGUCUAAAACAUCAGAGACCUUGGCUUUUCCUUAAUUCAGUAGAUGAAAUAUCCAUGCGAAAUUUUUCCUCUGGUAUGGAGAUGAACAUGUCGCUCAGCUCCUCUGGAAUGACUAAAUCCUCAAGGGCCUUCAAAACAAAACAAGUAGUGUAUAGUGUUUCAGAUGAUCUCUCUCCCACUUCCUUCUCCCCACACCCAAAAAAAAGUGUGUAAAGAAAACAUCAAGUUAAAUUUAUACCUUGAAAACUCCUUCAAUCAUUCGACCACCAACAAGAAAAGUGGUACCUGUGCUUUUACAUUUGAGAAGUAUCUCCAGCAUUCUAUUGUAAUCUCCUCCAUAAUACUUGGGCUGCAAUGAAUAAACUUCAUUCAGUAUCAACAACAAAAUAUCCAAUUGUCAAUUUUACUUACACAGUAACGAGUAAACUCUGUCAGUGAAGGUAAUACCACAAUUUAUGCUCAAAAGUAAGUACAAAGUGUGCUGAUAAGAAACUAAAAAGAUGAAAGAAACUGCAAAUUGCUACUCGAACAUUGGGUAUUUGGGUUGCAUAUUAUUAUCUAAUAAACAUAAAAUCAUUGACUCCAAAACCUAAAACAUCCUUUCAGAAAGGAAACAAACUAAACCGGUAGGUAGUUUUAUCAUGACUGUCGAACUUCUUACAUUAACAAGCCUAGCUGCAGUGUCUGCACCAAUUAUAAAAGCACUUCCUGGGAAAAGCUCCGCUUUCUUAUAGAAGUAUGGUUGGUUAGAUAUUAUCACAUUCUUCCCUGUAACAGAAAGAGAACAACAGGGUGAGUUUCCCCCAGCAAAUCCCAUCCAUGUGAAGUUCUAAAAAAGAGCAGCUUGACCCUCAAAAGCAGUAAAUAAUUGGUGAGCAAUUAAACAGACUUUCAGCAACCAACAAUUGGUUGCCCAGGUUGUCAAUCACUAUUUUAUCCUCCCUUUGGUUUUAAAUAUAUGACGUUUAGGACAAGCUAACUAGAUAAAAAAUGAACUAACUAACUUGUCUUAAAUGUCAUAUAUUUAAAAACGAAGGGAGUACAAUGGUAAUAUAAACAAAAACUUAGGAAAAACACUACUGGACACUUAUGUAAAGAGCUCCCGCGAAAUCAUUUUUAUUCAAGUGUCACCACGAUGCAUGGCCGCAGCCCACAUGAAUGAAUGGUAAACAAGACUCCAGUUCUCUGUAACCGCAAACUGAACCACAUUUGGCAUGGCAAUCUGAUCAGAGUCCUAGGGUUAUUGCAAAAUCGAAGUCAUGGCACAUAAUUGUACAUGAUGCUGGGCCAUACCUGCUUUUCUAAAUUGCUCAACACGCCUCUUAAUUUCUGGAAUAGAUAGUGGAGGUUUAUCGGCAUUGAUUGCUGAUAUCUCAAAGAAUGGAAGCCCAUCAUCAUACAUGCUACAACAAGUGGAUCCAUUAAAAAUAUCAGGCAAUUUACUCUUUCUUUUAAGAUAAAACAAGGAAAAAAAACAGAAGUGGAAGAUCCAAUAUCUUGGGUACAAAGACAGCUAUAUAGAAAUAGUGUUGUGGAGCCACAUGCCAAUUGUCAAAACAUAGCAAACCUUCUCUUGACAAGUAAUUUUCUGUGACAAAUCAUUUUCACAUUUCCACUUUGCCAUUAUUGAUUUUUUUUCCCCUUGCUAGCCUUUAACAUGCCCAAAUCCAAAAGUAGAAAUGUUUCUAUUUAUUCACAGCUUCUCCAAAAGAAAAUCAAACCUUGAUGCAACUUCCAACAGCUUAAGGUGGCCAUCAUGCAAGGGGUUGAAUGAACCAGGUAGAAUUACUUUCCUAUUGAAGUUUGUUUCCACUGGAGCUACAUUAAAGAAGAAGAGUAUUCAGAGAUGGAAGAGUUGUAGAAACAAUAGAACUAACAACGACCAAGGACACUAUGAUUCAAGAAUGAAAAUGGAAGAAAUUCUAGAAUGAAAAACAUAACAACUCCAAGUGCUAAAAUAUACCGGCAAAAUGAUAGACUUUCAUGCAAACUUGCCCAUCAAUGACUUGUUGGAGCUCUUGAUCUUCAUCAAAUUGUUCCGUGCUUUCUUCUGGAAGUUCAGGUUCUUGAAUGCCUGACUGAAUAGUUGCAGAUACUCUGCAGGUAUCUGCUAUUGCCUACAAUACGUACUCUUAAAAAUGAGUGCUACCUCCGAGAAUGCCAAUUAUCAUAAAAUUGGCCAAUCCUGACAUGAUCAGGAUUGGUUGCUUAUAUUUGUUGGUUACAAACUUAUGAUGUUCAACUUGAUCAAUAUUACCAAUGAGAACAUAUCAUCUAGUGAGGUGCAACAAACCUUAAGCAAAAAACAGCUUGAAACCUCGUCUUCUUCCUCUCUGCUCCGUAAACCCUGGGAAGAAAGAUUAUGGUAGCAUGAGGCAACACAAUUUAAUAAAUAAUAGUGGAUUGCUGCUAUUUUCUAUUCUGCUAACAAGUUCUAAAAAGACUAACAAGUAGCGUCAAUUUAUUAAAGUGUAAGAAGGAACAACAGUGCUUGUACAGUUGUACCUUUGACAAGGUAACAUGUGAUGUCCUGAGGCAAUUGUGAGUCCACGUUGACACAUAAAACCUAUUUCAAAACGCGAACCAGAUGUCAUAUAGUGGACACUCAAGAAAGAGGAUUAACAAACUUAUAGAUGUUAUCAUAACAGCGAAAAGAUAAAUACCCCCCUGAUUCCUCGAAAGAUGAGAAUUUUGUGUGCUCAGGCUCCUAUGGUCGUAUCGUAUCACAAUUCACAUGCUAAGCCAAGAUUCUAGCACGACCACUGCUCUAACUUGGUGAAGUGGGCUAGUUGCAAGGCAUACCUGUGGUCACCAUGUUUUGGACGUGAGCUUGCAAGUGACCCUGUAAAUCCAACACCCAUAACUUGCAGACCUAUGCAUACCCCAAUCAAUUACUUCAAAAUUUACAGCAAGGAUAGAUGAUGUUAGGUGCAAAUGUGCAAUUCUGCAAGCUACAGAGUCAUGUGCAGAAUGAUCAAGUAUUGCGAAGUAAAGUAAGCCACACAGACCUGGCCCAGAAAGCUUGAGUGCUCGGUUGUACGCGGCCAGUGCCAUGUCCUCUGCAGCCUGCUUGCUGGUGAAUUGCAAGGGCAUCUGAACAUCAAAGCACGGUCAGUGCAAACAGUACCUUCAGGCGUCAGCAAUAAGCCAAUAACAUCUGAGUAGUUGUUUGACUGUGGGUUCGAAAGUGGACGCGCAGAGUGUUUCGGGAGUGCCGAUUCCGUUACCUUGCCAAGGAGCUGCGCCAUGGAGGCCCUGGAGUAGGGCACGACGACCUCGAGGACGGUGCCCGACGCGCCGGGCACGGACAGGAGCCAGCCGAGCGCCUGCGCCGAAUGGGGGUGCCGAGCAGUUGGGAAUAUGGCCGAUUUGACGGGAAAAUUACAGCGCGCGGGGCCCGGGAGGUGCUGGUACGGAUACCUGAGAUGCGCCGCCGGCGAGGUAGAUGACCGCCUGGGAGCGAGAGGAGUAGAUGGCCUCCACCACCGCGCGGACCCAGCUCUCCAUCGCGAUCCCGGUGGACGCAGUUGGCUUGGGCGAGCUGCUACGGGACGAGACGACGGGAGGAUUUUGUCCUGUUCCCCUCCUUUUUUUUUUUUGAAGGAAGAGUUCCCCUCCUGUAGAUGUAGAAAAAAAACUCUUAUGUGGGCCGGAUCCCUCAGAACCCGUUUACGCAACGGCAUUCGCAACCGACCCCAGGUGGCCAGGCCCACAGCCCAAUGUCGGUUCCCGCACGUUCCGCCCUGGCCCGCAACCCUUCAAAGCCCACGUAGGGGUCUCGAAACCGCAACAAUCGCAGUUCGCGACGCAUUGCUGGCUGAAUCGCCUUCGCACCGCCACAGCAUUCCGCCGUCCUCUCCGACAUCGACUCGCACCGACCACUAGUGGCGCCACUUCCUCCUCAGCCCCAGCCAUGGCCGGCGGCGACGGUGAGGCGGCGGCCUUAAACCCCCAUCUCCUCCACGAGCGCCCUCGUACACAUCUCGCGUUGACAUCGUUCCCCUCUCUUCUACCCCGCAGGCGAUCGCCACCGCGCGCCGAAGCGGCACAAGUCCUCGGCCCCGUAAGGCGGCCCUGGUGGACGAGAGCACCGAGUUCGACUACGCCGAUGACUUCGACGACGAUGCCCUUGACGGUACCCACCGCGCGCUUGAUCCCCUCCUAAAUCCGCGAACCAUCCCCAAAUCUGUGGGGUUUCUUCUGAACUUCUGAUCGAUUUGAGGGAUUUGGGGGUGGAUGUCUUUGUUCUAUCGCAGCGGAUACGGAGGUGAAGAAGAGGGAUUUCACGAAGCUCGAGUUGAAGCCGGAUCACGCGAACCGGCCCCUCUGGGCGUGCGCGGACGGACGCAUCUUCCUCGAGACCUUCUCGCCGCUCUACAAGCAGGCAUACGAUUUCCUUAUCGCUAUUGCCGAACCUGUGUGCAGGUCCGCUUUAAUCAGUUCCAUACUUGAAUACCACCAGCUGCACCUUUAAUUCAGAGUUGUCAUGGCUGUACCCAGAUGGCUCACAACCUGAAUUGGAGCCGUUGAUUUCUCCAUGGAGUUCUGAUAGCAUGAAUUAGGGCUGUAGUAAGAUGUCCAUGCUUUGGAUAGGAUUGGUCUGGUAAAUCCAGAACACAUUGUUAACACACUAGCCGCAAGUCUGUCUUUGGAUGUCUUGUAUCAGGAGAUGAAUUUUGAAUAUAUACAAGACAGGAUUUCUUGACUUGCAAUUUUGCAUUCCAUUUAAAACCCGACAUAAGAGUCAACAUGAUGUCAUUUGAAGGAAUUUGUGUGAAAUUGGUUGGAGGGAUACAUAUGCUGAGAAUUGGGAGGGAGAAAGACAGUGGUGCUUGCUCAAUUUAAUUAAGCAUGUUUACAUGGAUCUUUAGGUUUUAAGGCUACGCUGAAUGUAGCUAUGGCAUAUUCCAGAGUUUUGUUGCUUCUGGUGUAAUUUGUUUGUGAGUGGAUUUGGAAUAAACAAAUAUUAUGUGAACACUAUCUAAACUUGACCAAAGUUAUGCGAGAUGUUUACCCUUGUUUCCUAGGUAAUAAUUACUAGGACUUGCUUAGUUUUGAGGAUUGAAUGGUGUAUUAGAGAUAUCCUGAGCUUGUUACUUCAAAGAAACAGCAAGUCAGCAACAAUAGUAAGCUAAAUUGUGACUGUAUCUGAGCUACCAUGGUGCUCUGGAUAUUGAAAUGAAUAUAUGUGUUAAAUGCUUGAAUAUAUUCAAUGAAGGUUUCCAACUUUUCUUUCUGAAAAUUCAACCUUGUUUUUGUUGUGCAAGCCAGAAUCUAUGCAUGAGUACAAUCUAACUCCCCACUCAUUGUAUGCUGCGGUCUCAGUAGGACUUGAGACAAGCACUAUUAUUAGUGUCUUGAGUAAACUCUCUUAAUACUAAGUUGCCUCGUGAAAUAAUUGACUUCAUCCACGGAUCAACUGCUAACUACAGCAAAGUGAAGCUUGUCUUGAAGAAGAAUCGAUAUUUUGUCAAGUCUCCAUUUCCUGAGGUCCUAUCACUUGACCUGUGUAUAAAGAAUUCUGAUAGCUCUAUCGCUUUUCUUUGUUGACAGAACUGUGGCAUCUCUUGUGCAGGUAUUGAGUAACCUCCUGAACGAUGAUGUUAUAUCAAAAGCUAGGAUAUCUCCUGAGGUAUUAUUUACUUUGGAUGUAUAAUAUCAAGCUGAAGUUAGUGUCAGGUAGAGGAGAAUUUGCACACUGUGGAAAUGUCAAUUGUGUUCAUGCCAUCAGUUUCUUUGUUUUCUUUCUGGUUUUGAGUAUAUUGGUUCUCAACUUAUUGGGUGUGUAAUCAUAAUUGACAUUUGAAACCAUUGCAGCUUAGGAAAUGUUUGUUACCUACCUCACUAGCCUCUGUGUGAUAAAAGUUGUUUCCCUGCUAAUUUGUCUACAUUAAACCAGCUAUCCAUUUAACUUAGUUGUUUGCUUCUCAACGUCGUAGGAAUCUAUUCUAAUUUUCCUUCAGGAUUCCCUUGGUGCAUCUUCAUUUACUAUUAGCAAAACAUCUGGACAAGCUAGUGGCCAUGAAGAGUUGUUAAAUGGAAUGGAAUUGGCUGCUGCAACUGAAGACAAGGAAACACAUUCUUUUGAGAUUGAUCCCUCUCAGGUAUUUCUUCAUUUCUACUGAAGGUUGGGAACCACUAAAGUUAUUGAGGGACUGAUCUUCCAUUUAUCUCACACAGGUUGAGAACGUCAAGCAACGGUGCUUACCAAAUGCAUUGAACUACCCCAUGCUGGAGGAGUAUGAUUUCAGAAAUGACACUGUAAGCUUGUCUUUUCUCAGGGAACAGCUAAUGCAUAUUGUUUUUCUGUUCUUUUUUCAUCGAUAAAUGAUGAUCAUGAUACUGAAAAGUUUAGACCAAAAGGAUGGGAUAAAUUGCAAACCACAGUACCUCUUGUUGGAGAAUGCAAAAAUUGGGGUUGGCCCAGGUCAAAGGAAUGUGAUAGAUGCACAUAUGCAUCAAAGAAAAUAAGUCAAAUGAAAGGGUAGGAGAAAUUUCAAACCACCUUAGCUCUACGUCAAAUAAUACAAGGGUCAAGGGGUGGGAUUGAUCCCUGCUAAUGGAAUGUAGAUGAACUUGCACCAAUAGAAAACGUUACUCCCUCUGGUCAUAGAAAAGUGGCAAUUUUGGACAUGAACAUGAUCUUGGAAACACUACUUUUACUACUGAAUUUUAUUGUGAUAUGAUUUAGAAUCUAAUGAAGUUAUAAUAUGUGAAAGUAUUUUUAACACAAAGCUGCUCAUGGAUCUAAAGCUUAACUUAGUUCCACUUCAAUUUUAAUUGUAGGUAAACCCAGAUUUGGACAUGGAGCUAAAGCCGCAAGCACGACCCAGGCCAUAUCAAGAAAAGAGUCUCAGCAAGAUGUUUGGAAACGGUAAGUUCAUCAUGUAAAGCUUAUGCAAAAUUGAGUUUCAAACAGUUGGUACUCUGUUAGAGAGCUAUAGAUGGCCACGAAGUUUGGGCUGAAGAAUUUCCCAGUGAUUAGCAUUGAAAGCCCAGUAUUGGUCUCUUAUCCGAUUGCACAUCCUGAUUUGCAGCCAGGUCCGAAAUGAAAGUAAAUGUGCCUUCUCUGUGCAAUGGUCUUGCAAUGCCUUGUUUAUAAGGUGUCCAGUAUUGUUUAAUGUUGUGAAUACUAAGUGAAAAUGUUGCAAAUUUUUAACUGAUAGCAGAAUAUGUGUUUACUAAGGAUGUAAACCAAAUUCUCCUUGCUCUUUUUAGCUAGUGAUUUUGUUCCCUUGGGUCAUUUAUUAAUCCUUCCAUUUAGAAGUUUUUGGUUUUUGCAUGGAGUAAACAAUUUGUGAUACUUGUAUGCAGUGAAUGCUAGCUUUUCUAAUUUGAUUUAAUUUGUAAUUAUGCAGGACGAGCAAGGUCAGGCAUUAUUGUGCUACCUUGUGGUGCUGGCAAAUCCUUGGUUGGUGUAUCUGCAGCCUGCCGUAUUAAUAUGUUUGGCCACAAAUGCUGUCUCCGUAGAUCAAUGGGCAUUUCAGUUCAAGCUUUGGUCAACUAUAAAAGAUGACCACAUUAGUCGUUUUAAAUCUGAUAACAAGGAGAAAUUUAGAUGGCAGGUGUGGUUGUGACUACAUAUAACAUGGUUGCAUUUGGUGGUAAACGGUCUGAAGACUCAGAGAAGAUUAUUGAAGAAAUCCAAAACAGAGAGUGGAGCUUCCUUCUAAUGGAUGAGGUGGGCUGGUCUAUUAUAAUCUGAUCAUUGGGGUUUUAUUCUUCCAUGUCUUAAUAAAGUAUAAUGCAGUGUCACUUUCGUCUCCUUUUCUUGUGUAUCUAUUCAGGUUCACGUUGUCCCUGCACAUAUGUUUAGAAAAGUCAUCAGCAUCACUAAAUCUCACUGCAAGCUUGGUCUUACUGGUAUGUCUCCAUCAUAUAAUCCUGCAUGGUUUCACUGUUUGCUUUUAUGACGUAUCAUAAACUCAUUAUAUACUCAUUAUAUUAAAAUUAUCACAGCUACCCUUGUGAGAGAGGACGAACGCAUUACCGAUUUGAAUUUUCUAAUUGGACCAAAACUGUAUGAAGCGAAAUGGUUGGAUUUAGUGAAAGGUGGAUUUAUUGCAAAUGUGCAGUGUGCAGAAGUAUGGUGUCCCAUGACCAAAGAGUUCUUUGCUGAAUAUUUGACGAAGGAUAAUUUGAAGAAGAAGCAGGUGAACCUGUAUUGAAGUUUGUCAUAGGUUCCUGCAGAGAAUUUAUAUAAGUUUUUGUCCUUCCAGAUUGCAAAUUCAUGUAUUCCAGUUUCCACUAUUGCUUUAUUUUAUUCCCAUUGUACCUUUCCCUCUAUGCAAUAGUCGACUUGAUUUGUUUCCUUUAGCUAUUCACCUCCAAGACAUACCACUCUUAUACUUUGGACAUCAGUACAUAUAUGAAUUUUCAUUGAUUGGAAUUCCAUUUUCUUUAAUUUCAUUCUCGUCUUCCUGGAAGCUAACUUAUGUUUUGAGGAUCACAUCUUACUGCCCUUAUGCCAGGUACUUUAUGUCAUGAAUCCAAACAAGUUCAGGGCUUGUGAGUUCCUGAUUCGAUUCCAUGAGCAACAAUGUGGAGACAAGAUAAUUGUGUUUGCUGACAAUCUAUUUGCACUAACAGCUUAUGCAAUGAAAAUCCGCAAGCCAAUGAUUUAUGGUGCCACAAGGUGACUUUACAUUUAUGCAGAUGUUACCUAGUUUCCUCUAGUUUGCACUUAUUUAUCUUUGAAUCACAUUCAGCCAUGCGGAGAGGACAAGAAUUCUCUACCAAUUCAAGAACAGUCCAGAAAUCAAUACAAUUUUCCUUUCAAAGGUGUGCUUACUGACUAUCUAAUAUUAAAUAUGUAUUUCAAAUCAACUUACUGUCAGCAAUGUUGGUGACUAUAUGCUAUUUCCUGUUAGGUUGGUGAUAACUCGAUUGAUAUCCCAGAAGCUAAUGUUAUCAUACAAAUAUCAUCUCAUGCUGGUUCAAGGCGUCAAGAAGCUCAGCGCUGGGACGUAUUCUCAGGGCAAAGGUACUAUUGGACCAUUUGUUUCAUUUUACAUACAAGCUGGUUGUAAUUGCUGCACUUGAUCCUUUGGCAUUCAAAAUUUUUCUGUGUGGAUGUUUCUGUUCCUUUUGACACUCAAAAUUAUUCUGGACAUUAAGAAGUCAUCAUAAAUUACACAUUAUGGUGAAAUUCUUUUAACACAGUAAACUUCAACGUUAUAAAUUUGGAUUGACAUCCAACAUAAUAUAUUGGUUCAAAUUUACUGUUGUGCUGUGGCAAAGCUUGCAACUAAAUUGUCACUCUUGCUGACCUUGUAUUUGUAGUAGUUGCACAUAGGUUGUUUAUUUGCACACUAUCCUAUUUACCAGUGUGGGGCUACCAACCUGGAUUUCAGUUUCAGCUUAUAGUUAUGAGAGUCACUUUGAUGUGGCCAAUAGAUUGGGGAUAAAGUGAUACAUAAUUAUUUGGAAGACUUAGAUCUAAACUGCAACAGUCCUAUAAUGAGUAUCAUGAAUUGUAUUCUCAUUAAAUCUCUUGUAAAUUAUUGUGACCUCAGGGUAAGCAUCAAGAUAGGAUGGCCGGAGGAAAAGAAGAAUACAAUGCUUUUUUCUAUUCUCUAGUGUCAACCGACACACAUGUCUCACUGGAUUACUUAUUUCCUCAUUAUUUCCCCCUUUUUUUACUGGAAACACCAGCAUGCAUGUAUGUUAUGACAGCCCUGUAAAUUAUCUUCAGUAUAUCAGGAUGACAUUCUUUUUGCUGAUGCAGGAGAUGUACUACUCAACAAAAAGGCAGCAGUUUCUUAUUGACCAGGGAUAUAGCUUCAAGGUAUGGCCUCUGGAGCAUUCUUAAGUUGUAAAGAAUUAUACUGUAAUUUGACUCUUACCCAUAGUACGUGCAGCUGCACGCACCUGCUGAGAUUGUUCUUUUGGCACUUUUUAGUGAUGAAAUAUUGUACUUGCCAGGUUAUCACUAGUUUGCCGCCACCUGAAGAAGGACCUAAUCUGAGCUAUUACACGCUUGAUGAACAGCUCGAGCUUUUAGGCAAGGUGGGAAUUUCUAUACCCCUUUGGUUGUAGGUCAUAGUUCCCUUGUUGGUUGUUACUGACUGUGUGCAGAUGCCCCAUUCACCACUUCCAACAGGUGCUGAACGCAGGGGAUGACAUGAUGGGCGUUGAGCACUUGGAAGAAGAUUCUGGUGGCAAGGCUCUUCUGAAAGCUCAUCGCUCUGCCGGAUCGAUGAGUGCCUUUUCUGGAGCCGGUGGAAGGGUUUACUUGGAAUGCAGGUGCUGCAUCUAUCCACUCUUCCUCUGUUUUUUUAUUUGGUGCCAUAUCCAACCUCAUCUUUAACUGGAUGCACAUCGCCUGUGUCCUGUUCUUCCAGCACCAAGGGGAAGGGUGCUCCGAAGAAACCCAAGGACCCAUCAAACAGGCAUCAUCUGUUUAAGAAGCGCUGCCAGUAGGAUGCCAGAGAAGUUGUGUAGCCUGUUAUGCUUUGCUGACAAUGACCUGGUUCAUGAGAACCUUCUUGCUUGGCAUGAAAAUGUCGUUGGUUUUAACAGAGAAGCCAGGUUACGCAAAGCUGUCACUUUCUGUUAGGGCAACCGUACUAGCAAUUGCCCUCGUUUUGAGCAAGGUUACUGAGCUAUUAUAUCGAGGACAAUUUUGGUCUUUGGCUUACGCCUGCUGCUUUCUGUUCGCAAACGAGGAUAUAUGUCUUCUUGAAAAAUGUAAAUAUUGUGUAAGGCUUGUAUGCAUAUUGAGCUAUAGGCACGCUAAAGCUGCAACACGUCAUUAGCGAUGCUGAACGACCUGGCACUGGCCUUAAUAUUUUAACUCCAAAGAAAUUUAAAUUUUACAAUCCUGUGUAUGAUGCAGUAUGGUCAAUGGUUACCAGUUCGAUGUCUUGUGAUUAUUGUUCAUGAGCAUUGCAACGUUUGUUCAAUUUUGAUGGUGCAACUUUCCUAAUAUGCUUAAUUUCCUUCUUUAUGCCCUUAAAUAGAAAUGAGGCCUGCACACGACAUUAUUUAAAUUUUCAAGAUAAACAUGUAUCAAACGGUUAACUACCGUCCACCCUUGCCCCGUCAAAUCCAUCAAAUAACUGGAAUGGCUUCAUGUCAGAUACACCACCGAACUUUAGGAACAACAUUUUGGACGAUAUCGUCACUUCGGCCGCUAUUUUCUAUUAGAUAUAACUAAGAGGUGUAUAAUAAAGUAAUAGUCUAAUAAAAUUGUUUUCAAUACAAAACAUAUAGUGAAGUAAUGUUUAUUAUACAUUUACAGUUUCUGAAGCAGAUAUAUAUGCGUUCCGCUUAUGUAUACUCCAAAACAAAAUUGCAAAGGAGAAAAAGGAAAUUGCUGACGAGUCUCCCAUCCAAUUUGCGACCCCGUCGUCUCGUGCAGUCGCAAGCACGAGGUUGUGAGCGAGCCAGCAAAGACGCUCUUCGAUUUGCCCUCACUCCAGCCCAGCCAGCCAGCCAGCCGCCCAAAAAGCCAGGCGCAAAUCACAACCUCGCCUCCUGUCCCCUCCCCCCGCUCCUCGUUCCCCUCUCGCCGCCCGCCCCCGGCCGCGAUCGAGGCGGCGCCAAUAACCAAGGGCGGGCCUCACCCUCUCUCCAGCGAGCUCCCCCGCGCCUCCGCCCCAAAUCCCCCCCGCGCCCCGUUUGGCCGCCGCCCCUGCGAUGGAUUUGGAUCUGUGGAUCUCCAAGGUCAAGGAGGGCCAGCACCUCGCCGAGCACGAGCUCCAGACCCUCUGCGAAUACGUUGAGUUUUCUACUCUCUGACUCGCUCGUUCCGCGCCUAGGGUUUUUCUCGCCCCAUUGCUCUCUCGGGCGGCCGCGCACGCGCGCUGGGUUGUUAGGGUUCUUAGUGGGUAGAGGUAGAUGUGGGGAAAGGGCUGCCUUUGCUGUGUCUAUUGGUUGUAUCUGUGUGUAACUGCUGUUUGUUUCGCCGGAUGUCCAGGUGAAGGAGAUCCUCAUCGAGGAGUCGAAUGUUCAGCCGGUGAACAGCCCCGUGACGGUGUGCGGUGACAUCCACGGGCAGUUCCAUGAUCUGAUGAAGCUAUUCGCGACCGGUGGGCACGUCCCCGAAACGAACUAUAUCUUCAUGGUGCGGACUGUGGAGCUUCCCCCCCCCCCCCCCCCCCCCCUUUUAUCUUUUCCUGUGAGCAGUGAUAAUGUAUUCGCCAUUAUCAUGAUACUGUUCUCCUCAAUCGAGCUGUGGUUCACUCGCAGGGUGAUUUUGUGGACCGUGGCUUCAACAGCCUGGAGGUUUUCACCAUUCUCUUGCUACUAAAAGCAAGGUAUUUAGUUAACUUCUUGUUUCUUCUUGUUUGGAGAUAGUCGAGUGUUUGCUUGAUUGUCGAAAAGUUCAAUGUUUCAGCUGCCUAGCUUCUGAUGUAGCAGCUGCUUCACUCUUUUGCCUUGUUAGCAACCUUACUACUUCAGACUGAGGGUCCAAUUCAUAAUCAUUUGUAGUAUAAAAACCUUGUUUUCUUAUGGAAUAUACAUGGUUGGAGAAACAUAAAUAGCCAGAGUAGCUUACUAGACAGAAUUAGGUUAUUGGCUUAUAUUGAUUGUUAAUUGCUGACUGACUAUGCCGUGAGUCUCGUGACUCGCCUUUUCACACUAUUUUUCCUGAAUUCUUGGAUAGUCUAUAGAACAAUUUAGCUUUUAGUUUACCAUGCAGUCAGAAACUUCAAAAUAAUGUAUGUGGUUCUUAUUUCUGAGAAAUACAAAUGAUGUUCUGGAGUUGCUCUGAAACAGGUUUUAUAAUGUACCGACAUGUGUGGUAGUGGAAUGAUGAGUUUGCAAUGUUUGAACAUAGAAACUGAAAUUUCUUCCUGACCUUUGGCAGCUUGAACUGCACGUGUCAAAAGAAGCAUCCAUUCUCACCAUAUAGUUUCCCAAUGAACCAACACUCUAAUGAUAGCAUUAUUCUCGUAAUCUUUGUUGUUCUAUUUUCACUUCAGCUCCCAUUUAGAUAUUUUUCCAAGAAUUGUCACCGUCAAUGGCUAAUUCUUGUCGAUGAAUUUUCUGACUGGUAUUAGGUAUCCAGCUCACAUAACCCUUCUGCGUGGAAAUCAUGAAAGUAGGCAAUUGACGCAGGUAUGUUCUGGUAUGGGUGAUACUGAUAAUUUUUGCUGUAACUAAAUGUCCUGAGUACAAUAUAUUCUGCUCUCAACUUAAAAGGUCAUGUAGCCAUCCAGUCACCCUGCAUGGUGCCUCUUAGAGCACUUUUGGUCUUAUUUGAUUCUGUUUAAGGUUUCAUUGGGGAAAAAAAGAGAAGAAAAAAAAGAAACAUCUGCGUGAAGCAUAAUAUAUUGAUUUUAGAAAGCUCGAAAUUAAUUCAGUACAUAUUGGUAUCAUUCUAGGGAAAUGGUAUUGUUACUGAUACCCUAACUAUGAUCUUACCUUGGCUUCAUGGUGCAUUGUGAAUCUACCAAUACAAGUUACACAUCUAUGAAUUUUGAGGUCUUAUGCUACUUAAAGUAACAAUCAUGUAAUUAGCCUGUCUGUCAUGCUUAGGCUUUCUUUAGCCAGUGCCUAAUAAACUAUCUAUCAACAUUGCUCCUUUUUUUGUGGUCUGCCCCCUCAUUUUGAUUUCAUAUGGCUAUAUAUUUUAGCUUGUAACAUACAUCGCAUGUUUGUAUCCAUUCGGUACCACAAAUAGCUGGAUACACAUGAAAUGCUUAUUUAGCACUUAUCAUGCAGGCAUGCUAAUAUUAUUGUGACUUAUCUUUAGGUGUAUGGUUUCUAUGAUGAGUGCCAGAGAAAGUAUGGGAAUGCCAAUGCAUGGCGGUACUGCACUGAUGUUUUUGAUUACCUUACGCUUUCAGCAAUCAUUAAUGGACAAGUAAGUUCCUCUGGGCAAAGAAUUUGCAGAUUGUCAGUUCAUGUUAUUUGGGACAAGUCAUACUUAAAUUAUAUGCUGAAUUCAGGUCCUCUGUGUUCAUGGCGGUCUUUCUCCUGAUGUACGCACUAUUGAUCAGGUUCGUGACUUUUCUUCUGUAGCUUUCGUAUAGUUAUUAUACUCAUCGGUCAACAUAGAUGUUUAUAGCUUCCAUAUUUCCUGUCUUGUAGGUAUGCCAUACUUAGUGAAAAUAUGUGAAGUAGAAAUAUAUUUUACUUGGUCUAUGAAAGGAUGAAAUUAUUACAACUAUUUGAAAUUUCCAUUGUCACCAAUGAUGCAAAUCAAUGUUUCAGUGCAUGUCUGCUAGAACUUUUGAAUGAGUGAACAGUUUAUAUAUAUUAUUUUCAGUGAUUUCUCUGUUCUUUUUUCAGCUGGUUGUGCUAACUCUUUUUUAAAAAAAACGUUUGCUAUAUAAUUUCCUUCAGUAGUAAGAACGGUUAUCAUCAAUGCACUGGUUGUGCUAAUUGUACAGUAAGAAUGGUUAUCAUCAAUGAACUGGAAAGUAACUGACCCUUAGCAUUGCUGACUCAUAUUUGUGAAGAAUGGUAGAGUAUCUGAUUCUGGGGUUGAUUUGGCCCUUAGCAUUUCUGACUUGUUUUCUGAAGAAUAGUAGAGUACAUGAUUCUGUUGCUUUUUAUGAAUAAAUGUUUCGAUGAGAUUAAACAUUUGAUUAUCUUUUAUCACUAGAUACGAACAAUUGAUCGCAAUUGUGAAAUUCCCCACGAAGGUCCUUUCUGUGAUCUUAUGUGGAGUGACCCUGAAGAGAUAGAGACAUGGGCUGUUAGUCCCCGUGGUGCAGGUUGGCUGUUCGGAUCACGAGUCACAGCAGAGGUGUGCAUACAAUCUUUCUUGCUAUUUUAUUAUUCCGAAUCGCCCUUUUAUUCAGUCCUUGGAAAUGCCACUUUUUGCUAUGCAGUUCAACUUUGUUAACGGUAUCGAGCUAGUUUGCCGAGCUCACCAGCUGGUGCAGGAAGGCUUAAAGUACAUGUUUCAGGAGAAGGGCCUUGUGACUGUGAGUUCUUAUUCCCACAUAGAUUGUCACUCGAGAUACUGGUAGCAUCAUAUUAGUAGUUUGUAUUUUUUUUUUAUUUCAGCAUGACUGAAUUGUUACAUUUGAAUUGUUUAUGAUGCUUUGUUUGUACUAUUUCUUUCCAGGUGUGGUCUGCACCUAAUUAUUGCUACAGAUGUGGCAAUGUAGCCUCCAUACUAAGCUUUGAUGAAAAGAUGGUAUGUUCUUUCGUUUAGAAGAGUUUGCUUGAAGUCUUCUGCAUACCUGAUUACUCUUGAGUAAAUUCAUACAAUAAGUUCAGCUCAAUCUUCAGCAUGUUUUGUUGUGCAUAUAUACAAGCAGUUUUUGUACAGAGAGAUUUUUUUGUGAAUGGGCAACAGAAAAGCAACCGGUGUUUCUGGCCAAUAUUUUUAGAUCUUAGUGAAGUGGUUAUACAAGUGAAUGUUACAGUACAUCUAGGUGGGGUCUCUCCUUUGUUCUGCAACACACCAAGUUUUUGUUAAGACAUUUUCUAUGCUUGCUAGUGAUAGCUGAUAGGCAGGGGCUGGAAAAUAAGGAAUAAAUCGUAGUCUUUUGAAUAGGGGUAGGGUUUCAGUUGGACCGUCAAUGAAAUAAGCAAAUUGUUGUCUUUCUGCAUCAACCAUGCUUUUUUGGGGAAUCAAGUAGACUUUGUGGUUUAGUGGUUCAUCUGCAACAGUUAUGCAUAUGCGGGUUUGUCUUGGCUGAGGAAGAGGGGUCGAAGUUGCCAUGAAAAGGCAAAGUCUGCUUGCUUUUGUCAAUAAGUACCAGCAGACCUCUGAUUCUUUUUCGCAUUAACAUCUGAUUGCUCCUAGUUUUGCAUCACCAAUUGUCGUGUAUCUUGUUUAUGACUGCAUGGUGGUUGGCAUGUUAUGCUCCACUGCGCUUUGCUUAACUUAAACCAAGGUGUAAUGAGAUGUAGCUGAUGCUGAUCAAUGCUGUGUAAUUUUCUGUUGCCAGGAAAGAGACGUCAAGUUCUUCACGGAGACAGAGGAGAACAACCAGAUGCGAGGCCCAAGGACCGCAGUCCCAUAUUUCCUCUGACUUCAAUUGUACAAUUUUAGAAGUCAAAUGUUUAAAUCUGUAAGGGCUAAAAGAUCCACCAGAGGUGUUUAUUGUUGUAGGUUCAGAUCAUAGUGCAAUAUGAUGCAUUUGAUUUCUCCAUUUUCUUUUAACCACAUGUACAAUAGACCAUCGGGAGUCAUAUGUUACUGUAUCCCUUCAGUGACACCGUCAAGUUUUGUUCUUGAUUUAUUUCACGUGCUAUUUAUCAUCGUGGACCGUGCAUGCGUUGUGCAACAUAAAAAUUUCUGCUGCCUGUUUAUUUUAUUUCUGAUGUGAUAUUUUCCUUUUAGUUUGCACUCGCCUAGUAAGAUAUUUUUCUUGAAAACAUCUCGUGUACGCACUUCCUGGCAUAUAUUCUUGGUUGGAUAGCUCCAGGUAUUUAUAAUGUAAUGCAGUUUGAUUCUGUGUGAUAAUCUUAUUUGCAAGCGUUUAACGUGAGACACACGGAACCGAAUUCAUCACCGGGUUGCGCAUGAAAGCAACAGUUGCGACGAUUUUAAAAGUGUACCAUCCAGCACGCAUACCUACCAAGCAUCUGCUCGCCAUCGGCCAGUGGCCGGUGACCAAGCAGGGCGCGGGUUCGCUGCGCGGCAGAGGCCACGAGCAGAUCAAGAUGCCUGCGCCGCACGGCGGGGGGGUUACGGGCUUUACGGGCGCAGGGCGUGUCGCCCACCUGCCCGCUCCUCCAACGGAGCGGAGAAGGCAUGCCCUCCGCUGCCGGUCUCCUCCCUCGCCCGCCCACCGGCGCGAACGAAUCUCACUUCUCAGUGACCGCGCGCGGUGCGCACGAACGUCGCCUUGGGGUGGGCACCAAGCCGCGUCACCGGCGCCCGACAGCGAUCGCCGUUUGCAUCGCCCUCCGGCCGCCGUCACUUUUUUUUUCCCUUGCUCUCGGUUAGAUGUACCCGUGAUUCGCUGCCCUCCCCGCCCACCCGGGCAGCUUUUGGGUUUGGACGCCGCGCGCCGUGCCGCGGCCUCAGAUCGUCGUCGUCCUCACGUGACCGGGGCUCCCCUCGGUUAAACAAAGCUUCGCCGUGCAUGUCAGGUGUCAGGUCGUGUCCUGUCUCGUGCGCUCGACUGCUCGUGCGACGGUGCGAGUGCGAGCCUGUGCCCCACGGCAGGUCAAACAACAGCAGACUGCUGAGCCUGCUGGUACCUUUUGGCAGGCGGAGGCUGUGCUGUGCUUGUUCCUUUUCCCAAUUCUCAUGACCGUUCAGGUGGCCCGUCCUGUCUUUACUCCUCAGUUCAUUUAAUACCGGUAGUGGUCUUUGAACUUUUGUUUGAAAAAAAAAAGGAUUCAAAUCUCGCCAUGUCUGUAAUAACUCCCUUGAAUGUACAGUACGUAUUUAUUUUUUUUCAAAUGAAUGCACUCAUACGUAUGUUUGACCGGCAACGGAUCGAUACUUCACCAGUCCACUUCUCAACAGCAGAAAAUAACCCUGCGUUUCUAUUUUCUAGUUUUCUUUCGCAGAAUGAUGGGAGAUGCAAGUGAUAGUGCAGCUCUCGACGAUCGAUCGAACCAUGUAUCUAGAAAAGAAAAGAGAGAAAUGCACUUGUACACUUGGCCUUGUAAGACAAGCGUGAUGGAACGAACCAUCCGGUUUCGCCAGAAAACAUUUUUUUUUUCUGGACGAGCUAAACAGAGCCGCGAAGGAGCAAAUCGAAACAGCAGCAUAUCCUACUUGGCAUGGCAGAUCCUCUGGUUGUGGUUACAGCAAAAUUGCGGAUCAAAAAAAAUUAGAGGGAAAUGUCAGUAACCUUUUAGUUCCUAAAUUGCCAAACAGGAUGCCUAAAGUUUAAACCUUUAGUACCUGUUGCGUAUAGGGAUUAAAAGAUACUGGACAGUGUGUACCCCUCUGUUAAUCCCUCUGUUAAUCCCCCACCCCACCCGUCCCGAUCCCGCCCGCCC
RNAcentral lists this long non-coding RNA (55057 nucleotides) under Setaria viridis. Its description in RNAcentral is "long non-coding RNA (SVIR_LNC006007)". The record is from RNAcentral. Lineage: Eukaryota; Viridiplantae; Streptophyta; Magnoliopsida; Poales; Poaceae.